UUUUUUUUUUUUUUUUUUUUGUCGAUACCACAGAUUAUUCUACACUAGAAUGGAGGGGGAAAAUCUGAAAAGGUCCAAAAGUAAUUCGGAAGGAACUGAAUCACCUAUCAUAUCUGACUAAAUGCACUACACGUCGAUUUGAAUUUUCUAAGUAGAGCCACUUUAGUAUGAGAACUUGCUUCCCACCUCAUCAAAUUUUAAUGCAUUGGCGGCGUCUAUGCAUAUCAAGUCGGUCAAAAGUGGAGAAAAUUGGCGAAUACAACUAUUCAUCAAAACGAAGACGUACUUUUGCACAGAGGAGAACAACCCGGAAGGAUCCAAAAUAAAAUAAUGCACUCCGAAAUCAAAUCCGCAACUACUAAAAGACGUCUGACUUUUGUCGCCUGGGAUUCUUUCUUGUUCAGCGUUCCAUCCAUUUAUAGCAUUCUGAUCACAGAUUUGAACAAACAGAUCAUGGCAUCCACCACCCAAUACCCUGUACUAUAUUAAGUUAUUAACCAUCCUCACGAGUCAGAUCAGAAGCCCCCACCGCCCUCUUCCUUUCUUCCCUCCUUUUUUGGGCACGUCAGAUAAAUGAUUUGGGAUGGUGGGAGUACAAUACUGCUAGUAAAAAGUAAUUUGCAUUGCAUUUUUUUUUUAGAAAAAAUUUAUUGUAACAAUUUGAUAUAUGUGAAAUAAAAAGGUGAUUGAAAAAUAUGUUCACGAAAGAAAAAAAAAAACAUAAGAAAAAUUGCAAUCCAAAGAAAGCCAAUUAUGAAAUCCUAGAAAAACUUUUCUCCUUCAUUCUUUUAUCCGUAGAAGUAGUAGUAGUACGUUUUUCCUUAAAUAUUUCAUUCGUUUCCCGCUUUUUUCUUUUUCUUUCUUGAAAAAGGAAAAAUAAAUUUUUUAAAAAAAGAAGAAAAAACUAGUACACAUAAGAAAUCAACAAGCGAAAAAUAAGAGGAAAAGACAACCUAGAAUAGAUCAAAAUUCCAAAUGUCAAACACAAGUUCUUCCUGUUUCACUGCACCCGGGACCCACAGGACAGGACCGAAAUCUCCAUCAUCUUACUUUACUUUUCAAAGUUGGUACCAGGUCCAGGAUAUUAUUAGAUUGAUAAAUCACAAAUCCUCCUUUUCUGGCUUUCCACUCUAGCUCAACUCUUCUGCUCCAGUUUAAAGCCAUUUACAGCAGAAUCAAACCCAAACAGAUGAAUCCCGACCGCCUUCAGCUUUUGAGUCUUUACUCCUCACUCCUUCACGCAAUUCCCAUGCAUUCUCAUUUGCUUUCCCACUGCCAACGGAAAAGCUACUAUAUCACCUCGGAUUACUAUUAGCAGCAGUAUAAUUUUUUUUAGUUUUGUCCCUUUUUUAUUCCCUUUUGUUUAAAUUUUAGUUCUACUGGUAUGGCAGUUUCUGACAUUGAAGCUGUGGUUGAAUUCUUGAGGAAAAAUGGAUUUUCAGAGUCUGAAUCAGCUCUUAUGGAGGAUAUUUGUGACAAAUCCCAACUGGGAUCCUCGGAUUUUCAGAGAUUUUUGUUCCCAAUGGUGCCUCCACUUCCCCCGGUUAAAAUUCCGGCCCCCGCAGCUAGGUGGUUGCCUCUGGUCCCUGGUGGAGGCGAUGCUGAUGAUGGUGGUGGUCAUCAGCUGAGUUCUCCUUCUUCUGAUGAUGAUGAUGAGGAGUUUGUCAGCUUGGCUUCUUCUACUACUGAGUUGUGUUCUUCAGGUCGUGAUUCUAAUUUUUUAACUGCUGCCAGUGAUCUUGUGGAUUUUCCUUUCUUUGACUUAUUAUAAAGUUCUUCUUAAUUUUGCCAUGUAUAAUUUUAUUGUUUCUCUUUUUAUAUUGAUAUGUGUUGUCUGUUUUAUUUGGGAACUGGGAUCUUUGGGAGAAUUUUGUCUUUUUUUUUGUGUAAUUUAGUUUGCUUUUAAAUCGAUUAUUAGCUUGUAAUAUUCUUGUUCUUGUUUUCUCCAUUAAUUGAUUGAAGAAUAGUUUUUGUUCAGUAGUUGACAGCUAGAUUGCUCCUUGCUUUGUUCCCUCUGCAUUUCAGAGUUUCUCUCUUUCCCUCUCCUCCUCUCUCGCUGAACUCAGUAUGUGGAAAAAUUUAUGUCUUGCUCUGUCAAUUAUGUACUGUAGUCAUUAAAGCAAAAGCAUACCAAAUUAGGCAAUGAAAUCAUGCGUUUCUGCAGUCUAAUCAAGGACUUUAGGUAAAUUCCCAAUUUGAUUUUUCAUUACUACAUGAGAGGGAGUAUUUUCUUGCUUGUGUUUCCUCUUAUAACUUCGCAACAUCCACUGAACUCCUCCUUUAAGUUUAAAAAUUUUUCUCCAGUUCUGCUUGGCUAUCCAGUGCAAUUAAUGCAGCAUUAUGUAGCUGGUGUCUAUUUUUUUCUUUUCUAAAUCAGCAUUUUUCUUUUCUAAAUCAGCAUUUUGUUCCCUGGCAUUUGUAUGUUGACCCGAGCUUUAUAUUAGCAUGCAAGUCAGAGGUCUCAUGAGCCCUGAACACCAAAAACCUGUGACUAUUGCUAUUCUUUCCUAAGAAAUGGCGGUUCCUUUUUCUUUUGGGAAGGGGUGUGGAUGUGAAGGUAGAAAUGGUGAAUAUUUGGAGAUCGUAUCUGAUGCAUGCUUUUUUCCUUUUGCAGACUUCACAAAUCCAUACGGGAUUCAUACUACCACAAGGCCGAGUUCUCAAGCUUCAUCUGAUGGGAUGUCUCAAUUUGGUACUGCACGAGAUUAUCAUGAGUUUGAUAUGCAAAAUGACUUAUACUGGUACAAAGAGAAAGAUGAAGACUAUGCUAUGCCUCCCCUCUUUGGGAUCUCAGACUUUGAUGCUGACCCAAGCGAGGAUAAGUUUGUCAUGACUGUAGAGACAGGGAAGCACAGGGAGAAUGAGCUUUGUCUGAACCAUAUAUCUGAAGGGUUUCAAUCUGAAAGUAGCACUCAUUACUAUGAUAGACAAUGGCCAAUAAACUCAAAGGAGAGUGGACAAAAUGAGGUUAUUAAAGAUUAUUAUGAUUUGGAAAGAAAUAUACAACUUGAAGAAAAUUUUAAGAAGGGAGAGGAAGGUUGCACGGGUUAUCAAUGUUCAGGCACGCUCUGUGCUUGCUGUGGUGGAGCAGGGAUAAAUCAUAUUGAGGAUCCUGCAGAUUUUGGAAUUCUAAAUCUUAGUCCUAGUCAGGAGGCAUCUAUUGGAUGUGAUGCAAACUGUUCUGUCAAGAAUAAUACAAACUAUUCUGUGAAGAGUAGCUCUAUGAAUGGCUGGGUUGGAGAACUGAAAAGUAGUGAUGACUUUCAAACUCACAUCAUUGAGGAAGAUUACCACCUGGGUGAAAUCGAAUCUAGGAAUCAUGAAAUGGAUGGAAAUAUCUGUGACCCUGAUCCCUCAGCUGAUGAAGAGGUUGGCACCCCGUCUGAUGAGCUUCUGAUGUAUGAGACUAAGGAAGAUGAUUAUGAAGUAUUCAGUCUGAGAAUCAUACACAGGAAAAACAGGUUUGUAAGUCCUUCAUUGUCUUUUUUCUAGAUUUUGUCUUUGUCCCCAGAUGUUGAUGCUGAGCUUGCAUCCUCUGUGUUUCUCACUUUGAUGAUGAAGUGCUAAUCCGAUGUGAGAAAUGACAUAAUGUAGACUUAUUCAGCUAGUGCAAAAAGCACUUGGAUUCUGUAUUAGUCCUUAAUUGAAUCGAUUUUUCUAAUCUUAGUUUCCUGGUCCUGUAAUGGUUGUUAUAGUUUGUCUUGUGCAGGGUUGAAUUGUAGCAAACAGUAGUACUCAUUUGUUAUGCCAUCCACAGGACUGGAUUCGAAGAAAACAAGGACUUUCCCAUUGUUCUAAAUAGUAUUGUAGCUGGUAGAUAUUAUAUCACUGAGUACCUUGGUUCAGCCGCUUUCAGUAAGGUUGCUCAGGCACAUGAUCUUCAUACUGGAAUGGAUGUUUGCUUGAAGAUCAUAAAAAAUGAUAAGGACUUCUUUGAUCAGAGCUUAGAUGAAAUUAAACUUCUGAAGUUUGUAAACAAGCACGAUCCUGGUGAUGAGCACCAUAUAUUGCGCCUUUAUGAUUACUUCUACCAUCAGGUGUGCAUCAAAGACAGUUUCUCAGUAUUCUUACUUUCUUAGAAUCUUGUUAGAUUUAUUUACUAGCAGUUUUUCUCUGAAAAGGCAUGGCAGAUUAACAAAAAUGUCUCUCCCUUUCCUUUACUCAUCUCCGUAGUGAUAAAUCAGUAUGAGUUUUCAUCUAUUCUUAGAUACCCAUAAGAGGGAUUUUCUGCAUGUAUUUUGCCUUUUAUGUGGUCAAAUAAAGAAGUUUUCCCUUACAGUUCAACAUUUAUAUUUCAAAAUCGCUAAACACAAGUGGUAUGAGUUGUUCACUUUUUUCCUACCUCCAGAGAUAAACAAAAUGAUGUUCAGUUGAUCCUCCAUGCGCCAGCUUUGAUAUUUACAUGGUCCAUAACCAUUGAAUUCAUGGUCUAUAUUUGUGUAGUGCUUGCAGACAUGAUUUAACAUCUUGGUCCAGUUGAUCUGCUUCACCUUAUCUGUUUGUCUUUCUUAAAUAGGUAGACUUCCUCCAGCAUUAUAUACUGAAAACCUAUUUGGAUUUUUUGAGGCCAUAAAUGAAAGACUUCUGAUAAUUAAUCAUCUGGUAACAUCGCAGUUGGUAAUCUUGAUUUUCAUAGUUGGAUCUUUCUUUAAAAGUUGAGAUUUUUUAUGUUCUGACUUUAUGGAAGCAGUUUAUGCUCCAUCAUACUACCAAAGGGCUAUCACAUUUAAGAACUUGUCUUCUGAAAAGUCUCUCAAGGGGUUAGAUGUCAACUAUUAAUUUAGUGCAAAAAGGGACAAUAAGUUACCUAAAGAAUGGGGUUUUCCGAUAAGCUGUUCAGCUUUUGUUAUUAAAUCAUAAUCAAGAGCGCAGAUAGUACUUCCUUUUGGCUAGUUUAGUUAAGCUCUUUCAAUGCCCAAAACAGGUCUUUACUGCUCUUUUUUUCCUACUACGCACUGUUAGUCAUGCAUUUAGCUAAAUUUGAAAAUACAUCUAUCAUUCAUUUUAAAUGGAGCUAUCUCAAUGGUUCUUGUUAUCCUCUUUGUGAUUACCUAUAGGAACAUCUAUUCAUUGUAUGUGAACUACUACGAGCAAACUUGUACGAGUUCCAGAAAUUUAACCGAGAAUCUGGUGGAGAGGCAUAUUUUACAUUGAGCAGGCUGCAGGUUGGUUUUAUUAGAGCCAUAAUUUGAACUGAUUCAACAAUCAGUGAACUUCUUUGCAGAGGAUAUUUUCAAGCUGAGUUGGAGAAAUCCCAAAAUGAAUAUUUUCCAAUUUUUACAGGGCAUUGCUCGGCAAUGUUUGGUGGCAUUAGAGUAUUUGCAUGGCUUGGGAGUAAUCCACUGUGAUCUGAAGCCUGAAAAUAUUCUUAUUAAAAGUUAUCGAAGAUGUGAGAUAAAAGUCAUUGAUCUUGGAAGCAGUUGCUUUCAGACGGAUAACUUAUCCCUCUAUGUUCAGUCUCGUUCUUAUAGGGCUCCUGAAGUCAUCCUGGGGCUAUCAUAUGACCAGAAGAUUGAUCUUUGGUCACUUGGUUGCAUACUGGCCGAGUUAUAUUCUGGGGAGGUAUUUGUUUGAUUCUUAUUUUAUCUGUUUGGCUGCAUUUUGUACAUUAUGUGGUAUGCUCAGAGUGGGUCAGCAAAGAAAUUUCUUUUACUUUAUUCUGAAACUUUCGAAUUCUUUUCCUUGUGACUGAAAAUUGGAUUGUGUUUUGUGCACUUGUUCCUCACAGCAUAACUGUUUUCCCAGGUGCUUUUCCCCAAUGAAGCAUUAGCAUUGUUGCUUGCACGUAUUAUAACAGUGCUUGGGCCUAUUGUCAUCAACAUGUUACAGCGGGGACAGGAAACACACAAAUAUUUUACGAAAGAAUAUGACCUUUACUAUAUAAAUGAGGUUUGUUACUUGCAAUGCUAUCUCCAUCUACAGUGUCAUGUGUUACCCUUUUAUAGCAGAUUUGGAAAUUAUUGAAGUUUAUAGUCUCACUGAACUUUGUCCAGUUUUCUAGAUUAGGCCUGUUAGACUAGUGCCCCUUAAUCUAGGCGUGGAGGAAGAGGCCUUAGAACAGCUAAUACAUCCUCAUUCUUUCAGUUUGAGAGGAACUUUAUGAAACAUCAUCUGUUUGCGCUAGAUUGUGAUCCAAGAAGUCUUUGAGAUGCAAAUCUUUGUACCUAUUAGAAAAGUGGUUCUUUUUUUUUUUUAAAAAAAAAAGGGCUUUAUACUUUUGAGGUAUAGAGAAGCCUAGGUAUGAUGAGGUCAAGUUCCAUGUCAAACUUGUGACUUGUACAGGACAACAUAACAGUUACACGGAAAAGAAACAAAGCUGCAUAUAGUUUGUGGUGCAGUAAAGUCGUUUAGGUAUUGACCUACAAGAACAUAGAUUUGAUUCCAUCUUCUCCCAUCUUAGGAACCCAGUUAACACAAGUAAGGGUGGUCACUCAAUGCGGAGACAACAAAUUAAAAGUAUGGUUCUAAGCAUGUUUUCAGUCCUAUCAGUUGGUCAAUGGUGGAUCAUAGAAGUCUUUGAUGAACGAUAUGUGGUCAAAGACUUCUAUUAUCCGUCAUUGACAGAUAGGAUUGCUUGAAACAUGGGGUUAUUGAUUAUUCAUUUUUCCCCUAACUUUGUUCUAAAACUUGUUGUGACUUUGCAUAUUGACGUGGUCGUAGGAGACUAAUCAAUUGGAAUACAUAAUUGCUGAGGAGUCAUCGUCAUUGGAGCAUCAUCUGCAAAUUUCUGAUCCUCUAUUUUUAAAUUUCAUAAGCAAAUUGCUCGAGAUUAAUCCUGAGAGGAGGCCAACAGCAAGGGAAGCAUUGGGCCACCCCUGGCUGUCUCAAGACUUGUUAUCCUGUCCGGAGUCCUGAAAUAGUUGGUCAUUUAUCUCUUGCUUGUAUCUUUACUCAGCACAAAAGGCUCACUUCACUUACUCUGAUUGGGUCCGUAAAUAUGUGGUUGCAUUUCCAAUUUGUAUAGCGGGUGUUGGACAUAAGUGGUUUUGCUUGGUUCCUUGGGAGUUUUUGCUUAAAAAGGCGGCAGGGAAUUGCUUUUGGGGAACGGCAAGGUGUUGAUAUUAUUCUUUUUUAGAUCCUGUAGUUUCUCAUGCAUAGAUCAUACUGUCAAAGCUACAAAGGAUUUUGAUGUUCAUAAUGUAUUCAUCCACAGCUUAUUAGAUUUAUAUACUAUAUCUUCAGCAAAUAAGAGUGCGCUGGAUUGAAUGGCAUUGGCAACUGAAUUCCCACUUUUUUGUUGGAUUAGUUGUGACCACCUUAUUGUUUGUGGAGUGAACUUGAAAGUAAAAGUCAAGCUACUGCUGGAGGCACCUGUGGUUAAAAAUCAGAAUGGCUGUAUCUAAGUUGGUUCUGCAUUAAUUAUGAAGAACUGGAGCUGCAAUAAACAAAUAGCAGAACAAAUCUCUUGCCAAGAUUUUACGAAUGCUGUUUUAUAUAUAUAUAUAUAUAUAUAUGAUGUUUUCACAGUGGUAUAACGAUUUUUGGGACGGCUUAUGACUUUUCGAAGACGCAAAUAAGUAAGAACCAACAGGGGUAUCUGUUUCAAAAGAACGUUGUAGAUCGAGAUCCCAAGCACGAAGAUAAUUUGAUUUGAGGAAUGCCCAAAAACCCAUUAUUUAGAGAACAAUUUGUUGAAGUAAGGCUGUGAGCCCGACAUUUAACAACACGUUUCUGUAGUUUACUGUUUGGAAGUUGGGGCGGCGAUUGAAUCUGAAGUUUGCAGUACCAAGGACAUAGAAUUAUUAUUCAUAUCUCCGAUGAUUUUGGGAACCUUUCUUUGAAAUUUGAAUUGAAACAUUCCUAUUCAUGAUUACAUAUUCUAAGUUUGGUAAAAGUCAACGUUGCCUUUUUUCUUUUUCUUUUUUUUGAGUCGGCUUCAAACUUUAAAAGAAAAUAGGGUGCACUUGAGGGUCAAGGUUCUCCUAAUCACGCUAUUAAUAUCCCAACCAAUUAAAUUGGAUAAAAAGUAAACAUGCUGUUACAAAAUUAGAAUAGGUUUCUAAUUGACAAAUAUAAUCAUAUGACGCCUGUAGUGUUACUUUCCAAAACUGUUUCAGUUAUUUUACCACAGACUUUAAUUUUUUUUUUUUUUUUUAGUGUAAGCAGGAAGACUCAAACCCGAGACCUCUUACUUACACUCCCUCCCCCCGUACCACCCAACCCAACUCUCCCCCCUUUUUUUUUUUGUUUUUUGUUUAGUGUAAGCGGGAGGAUUCGGGCCCGAGACCUCUUGCUUACACUCCCUCUCCCGUACCACAGACAACGAACAACUGAUCAGUUAAGAUUGUGCAAUAGAGUUAGGGGUGUAAACUGGUCUAAUUAAGUCAAACAUUUUAGUGUUUAAAUUUGUUUGAUUAUUUUAAUGAAUAUGAAACUCUGUUUAAGCUUGGUUUCUUUAUUUAUUGAAUCUAGCUCGAACGAAUUUUUAUCGAGUCAAACUUGAAUUAAGUUCUAGUUGAUUGAAAUUUUUACAAUAUAAUAUCCAAUUUAAUACUAAUCAAACUAAGCUGGAAUCGACCUUGAAAGUUGAUAGAAUAUAAAAUUAUGUUCAAAUUUAUCUUUGACUAGUUGGCGAAUCAAAUUUGAAUGAACUCUUAUCCAACUGAGUUCAAUUCGAGUAUUUAGUAGUUUUGUCCAUCUUUCAAUUCUAAAUAGAGUUAAUCCCACUUCUUUCUCCUCACUUCCUAAAUCUCACAUUUUUUCUACUUAAGGGAAAAAAAAAAUUGUGUGAUAGAGGAGUUAAAAGUAAUUAAAGACAAACAAGAAGUAAUUGGUGCAAGAAUACAAUAUGAUGGGCACGCUUUAACGUAACUGUUUUUUAGAAUUGGUGCACAUUGAAGUGUUGACUACGUGCGAUUCCAUAGUUUGACCACAUUUUUGCAUUAGCGCACAGUAGUGCUGAGAACUUAAAAUAUUACAAAUUUCACAGUUUCUAGAAAUGAAAAUAAGUUUUAUUUCUUCUUCAAGCUACAAAGUACAAUUGCUGCUCAUAUAAAUAAGAAGAAGAAAAAAAAAUAGUGCAAUUACAUGAUUAAGGGUUGAAGCUGAUAUGCAUUGGCUUCAAAUUAAAUGACUUCAUGGUCAUAGUAGUGUUAACUACAUGUGUGAGAGAACUUAUAUGAGAUAAUCAUCUCUCGAUUUAAGAUGGAGUAAAAAGUCUCCUCACCCGCAAAAUACUUUAGUCCUCCAAAUUUAUGUCAAAAACCUCCACCGGAUCAACUUUAUCUAAUUGUUUUUUUUUAAAAAAUUGUUGUACAAGAUCCAAUACAAUUUAUUUGGACUGUCAGCAGAACUGAAAAAUUGCCGAGUAUCCAAUGGACAAACAAUCAUUGGACAGAUCCUCGACAAUUGUAAGUAAGCCGGAUAAAUAGACUUGUAAUUAGAGGAAAGUAUUUGUGCUACUAGUAAGCAGACAGUCUUCUUUUUUGACCUACAAUUGUAACAACGACUGCUAGUGCUAGUAGCCUAGUACUAGUUUUUCUUCUUCCGGGAAGCCCCCAUCAAACAAGUUUGCCGUAAAAGAAGAACAGAAAACGAAGCAAAUUGUCAGAGAAAAAAGGCUGCAUAUAUCAGAAGCAGUAAGUAAAUGCUGGAUAGUGAAUGCUGAAAUGACUGGGCCCAACCCAAGUAUGCAGUAGCUGAUCAAGAAACAAGAGUUCUGUCUUACCGGGUUGCAUCCUGAGGCAAGUAAACGAUAGUAGUGCCUGUUUUUUGGGGGCUGGGGGAUCUUUAAAAUUCUGAAAUAGCAUCGGUUAUGGGAGGAGGAAGGGACAAAACCCUCCAACGAUGGAAAGAUUGUCCCUUCUCUUCUCCUCUUAUUGGCGGAUGCAGUCCCUGACUCCGCCUUUUUUUUAACUUUUUCUCAGACGCCUCUUUUUUAUAGUGAAGCGCGUGAGCUCAAAUGAUUUUUUUCCUGAUUCUGAAAAUAUUUUGUCCUUUUCUUUUUAAAUCAGUUCCAAUUGAAAGGUACGGGGCUACAAUUACUUUUUGUAUUUUCGUUUUUAGUUCCUUAACUCAAAGUAAUUUACUCAAAGGAUCAUAAUUCCAUAUGCUAUACUUUUCCAACUUCUAUUAAAAAUCCAUAUGCUUGGUCCUUGUCAAACAACCAAACAAUCUGUCUACUAAGAAGAAAAGUAUCACUUGAGUGCUAAUUUAAGAAGAAAUCAGCAAUGAAAAUUCUUCACUUGCACGUGUGACUAAACAAAGCGGGCAAUUUGAAAUCAAAUGAAAACGAGAAAUAGCAGUGCAUAGCAUAAACGUGAAACAGGGUCGAAAUUAUUCGUAAUUCAAGUCAAAUUUGACUAGUGUAAUUCAGGAGAGUUAAAUUCAUUCAAAUAAUUAAAUAUAAAUCCUAACACAAUGUAAAAGUCAUCCUAUUAAAACAUAGACAUACUACUGGAAUUUGAUUGGACAAGAACUCAAAUUUAAUCAAGCAAAACACGAACACAAUUUCGAGGAUGUUUAAGGAUUCAAAACUAACCAACUGCUCAUCACCUGGAUUGCAGUUGAAGAACAGAAAAGAAAGAAAAUUUUAAAAAGAAUCAAGAAAAGUAUUGGAGUGGUAAAAUGAAUCAACUACUACUAGUAUAGAACUGAAACAUCCAAGUUCCUUUCAUCCCCCCAAGACACCCUCCCCAAACGCGUGCCGUCAACUCUCCCAUUUUCCCUUUCUUUUUUUCCUUUUCUCUCUCUCAAUCAACACCACAACCACUUCGUCGAGGCACCACCUUGACCACAACUCCGUCGGCACCUACGCCACCACUGAAAAUUAUGGACUGAAUUCCCAAAACUCCUCACCACACUUCUUAUAUAUAAACUCCUACUUAACUGGAAAAAUAAGAUACUAAAUAUAAAAGAACAAAAAUCAGUGAGCCAAAACUCAAAAGCCUUGUAUGAUGGCGGAGCUGGCUCAAUCCGCCGACGUCUACGCGCCGAAGACUAUACAAGUUUGGAGAGCACUAUUAAACUGGCUGGCUUUCUUCUUCCAGAUCUUCGUUCAGAUCAUCAGAGGCACGCCGUCGCUGACUCAGGUCCUGUCUUACGUUGGCCUGCGCCACUCCUCUCUUCUCUCUUCUUCAUCGCCUCAGUUCAAGCCUUUACCUGUCGUCGAGUUACAGGAGCCUGAGCAUCCUCCUCCUCCCCUUUCUUCCGCCGUUCAAAUUACAUCCGGCGCCACCUCUGAUGGUGGACUUCUCGAUAAGCUCACGGUAGAUUCAUACUAGUUCCAUUUUGUGACUUGAGAACUUCAAUGCAUUUAAUAUGGAAGAUAUAUAUAUAUAUAUAUAUAUAUAUAUAUAGGUGUUUUAGGAAUUUUUAGUGUGAUCUUUCUCUGGGGAUUUAUGGUAAUUUUGCCUAAUUCUUGUGUGAGCGAAGUUAGUUAUUACUGUUGGUUGGUCUGGAGCAUGAUAUUUUUAUUGUGUUGGGGAUGAAAUAGUUAACACUUUGCAGAGUUCUUACUGGAUCUUUUAAAUCUAUCAUUUGUUUCGGCUGACCUCUUUUUACAAUCCUGAUGAGGCACAACAUGCAUGAAUUCAGAAAGAGAUGCCUUUGUGUUUGAGCUUGGAGUUUGUAGAAACACUUGCGUAAAUGGGGUGAAAGUAGAGUUAUUCUUGAGAGCUGUUUCUAAGUAAAACCAAAGAUUGGAUUUUGUGGACUGGAAAAAAGCAGCCCUGAGAUUUUUUUUUUUAAGUAAAAUUUUCCCUAAUCUGGAACCUGAAAGGGUAUAAAUAAUUAUACUCCUUAUAUUUUCCUGCUGUUGUCUGCUGUAGAGUUGUUGACUUUCUUAGCAGAUAUUUCUUUACAGUCUUUGCCUUUCAGUAAGAGUUUCUGUGCAGUUGUGAUGGAUGCUGUUUUCAGUAAGUGCAAUAGGGAGACGUGGUAAAUGCUGUAUUACUAUAUGUUUUCUGUACUUAUUUUGAGAAAUUUCAAUCGCCAUGUUAAGAUGGUUGCUAUGGGAAUAUACAUAUCGAGAAAAGGGAGGAUGUAUGAGUUGUUCUUGUUGCUGGAAACCAAGAUAGGAGAAUUGAACUUUGAGCUUGGUCUGAAUAAUUAUGCACACUAUUUGUGACUUCUUGAGACUUGUAUUUGAAUAAGAAUAGAUGUUCGAGGAAAAACUGAGUCAAAGAUUAUUCCAGUUGAAUGGUUGUGUGAAUUACCUAGAUUUUUCUUGCUUUCGGAGGACCUUAGGUGGCUCAAGCUAUGAACUUCUGGUUGCAGGUGGUUCUGGACUUGGAUGAAACUCUAGUUUGUGCAUAUGAGACAUCUAGUCUGCCUUCUAUGAUACGUAGUCAAGCCACUGAGGCUGGGUUAAACUGGUUUGAACUGGAAUGCGUAUCUUCCGAUAAGGUGAUCGUGCAUGUUCAAUUCACACUAAAAUAAUUCAGAGCAAAAUAUCUGAGGUGAAUGUAUCUCAUUUUGGUUAUGCUUUGAUUUCAAGGAAAUUGAAGGCAAGCCUAAGAUUAACUAUGUGACGGUGUUUGAGCGUCCUGGAUUGCAUGAAUUUCUCAAACAACUCAGUGAAUUUGCCAACCUUGUAUUAUUUACUGCUGGCCUUGAAGGUUUGUUCAAUACAGGGCAAUUUCUUUGAUUUUCUAUGCUUUACUCUCCUUUUCCAGUUAAAUCCUUUUUUUACUGUUUUGGGGAUUUUUUUUUUUGGGGGGGGGGGUUAUUAUUGUUGUAGUUGAUUGCAUUUAUAUAUAUAGUUGCUUAAAUUAACAGUGCUUUGUGCUUGCACCUUGCAGGGUAUGCUAGGCCUCUUGUAGACAGAAUAGAUGCUGAAAAUAGGUUUAGUCUCAGACUUUAUCGACCGUCAACCAUUAGCACGUAAGUGUAGUAGUGAUCUCAUUCGACGUGUCUUGGGUAAUAUGUUUAUUAUAUUAUCUUGGGUUAAAGUUACAUUAAUUUAUAUGGGAAGAACUUUUGAUUGUUCUUAAAUCUACUAGUUAUACUUGAGAGUCAAGUUGAUGUCUGCACAUAUGUUUGGAAGUAUCAAAACAAGUUGACUUCUGUAUAUAUGUUUGGAAGUAUCAAAAAAGUAAUAUAAGAGACUUUUACUCUUCUGGGAAGAAAGAGUUAAAAACUUACUGGAGGAAAAGAAAAUGAAGAAGAAAGAAAUUACUAAAGCUAAGAACACAUAUCUAGCUGGCAAAGAAAAAAGAGACCAAAAAAAAAUCUGGCUAUAUAUUGUGGGAUAUCCAUCCAGGCUUAGUACAAAACGAGUACUCUUAUAUGUAAUGUAACAUGAAACAUGAAACAGUGUAUCUUGGACCUCUUUGGUGAACUCCUCUUGGUUUUCUUCUCUAAACUAGUGGAAUCAAUGCUGUGGUUAUAAUCCUCGACCACUAGUUAUUAAGUUUUCUGUUCUUGACUGUUAACUCUUUGGGAGAGAGGUCCUCUUCCACUUUGAGCUUUUGGAUGAAUUCCAUAUGGGUGCUUGAUGUAGCUGUUGUGAUUCAUAGGUCAUAAUAAGGUUGAGUUACAUUGAAAGUUAACCAUUUAACAGAAGACCUAAUUGGGCUAACAUAUCAUGGUCAAAGAUGACCUAGCACUAUUUCUUUUCCUUCGGAAAGUCACAUCAAAUGUGGAUGACGGCCCAAGAUAAAAUAGCUUUACAUUUUGAAUCAAAGUACGCGUCUACGGUUUGAUAUUGGCACCAGAUUUUCUCUGUAAGAGACGUCAUGUAAACCAUAGGUCUGUGACCAGGAUAAUGUGCUCAUUGAUCAGUGGUUAAAUAUAGGGUAAAGAACACUCAAAUUGGGAUAAGGUAUUCUCUCUGUUUUGGAGCUUGUUUAACUGGUGAAUUGUUGGGAGUUAGUAUAUUGUUGGGAUAACGGUAUUCUUUCUGUUUUGAAGUCCUUUGACCUUAUUGAUAUAAAAAUGUCUGGUGGACAUUGUAAGAGAUGAACAAUUACAGGAAAAUGGUCAUGUAGGAAGAAUGGUUUCUGUGCUUCGAGCUGUUUUUGCAAUUACCAGACCCCAUAGUUUUCGUGAUUAUUGUUAUUUAGAUUUCUUGUUUUCUGUUUAAUUGCAUAAUUACUUUCUAGUAUUGGUGAGGUUAAUUUUGAUCAUCAUUUAGAGAUUUAUAUUACAUUCUUAAAAUUUGAUGGAACUGGAAUAUUCAAGGACAAAGCAGCUGAGCUAUUUCCAGAACAUGUUGUCAAGAUAUAUUGUAAGUCAGCCCAAAUUUUUUAUGAAUUGAGCAGAUUUUGGUGAUUAUAUAUUGAACUAAAGAAAAAUGGUAAUAAUGGUGGCUCAGAAACUGUCACUGCUCUGAUGCAUAUACACAUCUACUUGAGGGGGUCGACUGAGUUUCCUUGGAGCUAUAAAUUUCAGAUUUCCCUGAUUUCUGAAGUGUGGGGAAUGGAUAUUCAAGCAUUUUGUGUAAAAGCAAUUAAACAUUUUGCAUUUGCAGUUACUUCUCCCUCCCCUUCCAUUUAAAGAAUUUUGAGCUAAAAUCCUUGUGUGGGCACUCGCAUGUCACGUGUGUUAAUACAUACUAGAGACAUGAUGUUGUGAGUUUGUAUGGAUCUUAGUUAGCUCACAGUUCAUUAGUCUGCUGUAUGUAGGGAUGACAUCAGGUAACAUUAAGCUAUGUCAAUUUUAUUUUAUCUUCUUUGAUUUUAUAUUAUUUUAGCACUUGUGUUUGGGUGUUAGAGAGUUCUAGUUUUUCGGGUAGUAAUUGUCUCCUCCAAUGAGAAUCCACAGAGCACUGAGAGGUCAGUGAUUUGUCGAUAGAUAUGGAAGAUCUAUCUUGAUAUGGAGCAAGCCUGAUGGUGAAAGUUACUAUUCUUUGCAGGUCAACAUUCUUAAGCGAAGUUCACUAAGCCGAUAGUUGACAAGAAAUAGAGCAUGGUUUUUGGGGGCAGUCAUUAUUUUUCUCUAGCUAAGAUUUUUUGGCAUGGUAACACAACUAUUCGAAAAAGUUCUUGAAGCAAAUUUCGAUGGUAUCUAUCUUACUGUGCCACCAUUAUUGUAUGAACAAUGUAUUGGACUAAGUUGACCAGUUUGAGAGUCCUCGUUCAUGUUCUGCUUGAUGCUCAAACGACUUCAGACGCUCUUUUAUUAAGGAAUUAAAAGAAUAUUAGUAGCUUUCUGAUUUCAUUUAUUAUUUGGUGCAAGUAUUCUAUCAACAAGAAAAUGCUUUACAUGGGGGGAAUUGCUACUAGUACAUUCGGGAUAUUGGUUGGUUAAAAGUUUGGAUCUUCUUGUUGAGGAUCCAUAGUGUAUUCAUGCUUUUUUGCUGAUGUUGAAGAUUGAUCGUGUUUUCAUGUUUUGGAUGCUGGAUAUGUUGCAGGGAAUAUAGAGAGCAUGUGAAGGAUUUGUCAUGUGUAUCAAAGGAUUUGUGUCGAAUGGUUAUCGUUGAUAACAAUCCAUUCAGUUUCUUGUUGCAACCACUAAAUGGUAUUCCAUGCAUACCAUUUUCAGCAGGGCAACCGCAGGAUGAACAGGUACCAUUGAUUACAGUAGUUGGAUAAAAACUUUUGUCAAACUAUGUCCACUGGGUGAGACGCACGCUAAUUUAAACAUGCACAUGCUCAUCAGCUUUUGGAAGUUAUCCUUCCACUUCUCAAGCACCUUUCUCAGCAGAAGGAUGUAAGGCCAGUGCUGUAUGAAAGGUUUCAUAUGCCUGAAUGGUUUCAAAGACAUGGGAUUCCUGCAUCUUGGUGGGCAAACUAUGAAGGCAUUGUUAAAAAUUGAGAUAGUUUAUUAUUCCUGGAUGCACCUGGAAAGUAAAUCUUUUAGAAGGGCAACAUCUCUUCCCACGAAGAGUGAAGUUUUGUAUAGCAGCAUUUUGUGCAGAGCAGCAGCUUUGAAUUUUUCACAGCCGCUUCACAGAGGUGUCUCCAAUGGAUGAUGCACAUACUGCGAUUCUGGAAACUAAAGAUUCUUGUGUAACUCUGUUCAUAGCUUUCAAUUCAUGUGGGAUCUAAUGUACUUGUCAGAUGUUGUACACUGUAUUCUAGCCAAUAAUUAUUUGCAUGUUAGCAGUAUUCUUCUGUACAGAACCUACCAUUGGAUGCUACUUUUAGUUGUCAAGAGUUGUUUAUUUAGUACAAGUUAGCUUGUGCCGUUGAAACCAGAUUAUUGUUGCAUUCUCACUUAGUCUUGCAGAGAGAUGUAAUUCAUCAUCUGUCUGCUUGCCAACUCGAUUAGUAAUAGAAGGAUGCAUCCAAUGGAUUUUGGUAUGCCUAACUCGUCUGUUCGCUUUGUGGGAAAGGUCAGGUAGACAUUGAAGAAUGCCAUGUUUGCUGCAUGAUUAAAAACUUGUUCACUAAGUCAAGAGGAAUAAGGAUAGAUUUUCUGGACAUCGGCAAAUUGUGAAAUGAUGAUAUCAAAUCGAUUUAAAGAAAGUUUCAGACGAGAAACUGGUGUCAUUAGUCGCCUGGCUUCCAUGUUUCGAUAAUCACCAUACAUCUUCAGUUUUCCAUCCCAGAAAAGUACAUCAUUUCUUGAAGAAACAUAAACUGAUGGAUUUCUGCCUGGAGUUGAGGGUUGCCAGCUAAAUACCGAGCAAAUGAAGAAGUGGUAUGCAGCAAGAAAACAGCCCACCGUGACCUGGUGAUCCCCGGUACAGUUAGCUAGGCUAUUGGGAAAUAGGCUCGUAAUUAACAAUAACUGAGGAUAAGGAUUUGCUAAAGAGUUCGACAUCAUGAUUGUGUCUCAAACCCAGACUAUCACAAAAUGGUUGAUUAACCUUUCUACAACAGCCCCAUGUUCCUUCCUAAAAGCCCUUCAUGUUCAGCCAGAAUCGAAAGCAUGGACCAAUACAUUGUUCAAGAACUUCUAACACGCUUUUGUUUUACUAAUCGUGUUUAGGUGGACCCCAACAGAGCGCUGGCCUGUUAUUAAAGUUGGCAAAUUAACAGAACAUACCAUAUUUCUUUAAUUCAAGAUCAUAAUCUGUUUCAUAAGCACGUCUGAACAAUCUAAUCUGUCACCCUCAAAAAAAAAAAAAAAUCUUAUCUGUUCAAGAAGCGAAGUUUCUUUGAUUUUUGAAACAUCCCAGAUCAUCGCGAGGUAAGAACAGAAUCCCAAGCAGAUAGUUUUUUACCAACACAAUUUUUUAAGUUAAAAAAUGAAAUAGCCUUAUGCAUUGUCAUCUAAAUUAGGUUCAUCAAUAUCAUGGUACAGCUGCAAUAACUAGUCAAUGUUGUUCUUGAAGGGUGCAAGGUAAGUCCUCGUGGGAAGUUUCUCUCUCACAUGAACUAUGAAGGCAUCAAAUAUUAUGGUUAUGGUGGUUGGUCUCAUAGUUUGUAUAUAAUAGAAGCCCAAUUGAGUUGUUAAAAGAAGCAAAUGAUUGUACAAAUGGUAUGACUAAUCGAGCAGGGAUGAUUGCCAUCAAAAGGCAAGUCUGUCCUAUGCUAAUUGGAAUUGGUGACUAAUUGAUGAAGAAUGAGCAUCGGAAAAUAAAGAAAAAAAAAAAGGAAAGCUUGAUUCAUGUUUUAGUAUUCCAAUGGUCAACACGGAAAAUAAAAUGAUGAAAAAAGAAACGUCCAAUGUACAUCAUUUGCUUUUCAGAUCAGGAACUCAAUUAUUUUCUCAUUCAAUGUAUAUUUUAAGAAACCGAAAAGCAGAAAAGUAAGAAGACAUAAAAGAGCAAGGGUCAUAGCCAACUGCUCCAACAACUCAAAGUUGCAUACUUCUCAGAGUUGUAUUCCAGCAAGAAAGCAUACAUAAUUUGACCCCAUUUGCAUUUUAACACCGCUGUUCCAAGAAAACCUCCAAGGAGCAUGGAUGUCGUCACGUAAAGCAUAUAGCCACCACUAAUGUUCUUUGCUGUAAUUCUUUUUUCUUUCGUCUCUUAGAUUUUCUAUGGUGUACCAGAUCUAAUUAAAUUACUUCCCUGAAAUUGCUGCAUGGCAUGUACUACCAAUUAACAGUCCAUUUGUUUGAAGCCCUGCUUUUAUUUAGGAAGUUAGCCUUCCUUGCAUCUUUUAUUUUCCCCGGAAGCCCGGGUCGGGUGGCAUUGAGAAAAAAGAACAACCCACAGGAAUGAGGAGGAAGGCUUUUUGUGCUUGGGAGGUCUUGACAAAUUUCAGUCAUGAAAUUCAAAAGCAAAGGACAGGAGCAGUUGUAUAGAUCCUCAAGAGUUCUGGAUUAAGAAUUACCUUUUUCUUUGACGACGAUUGAUUGGAAAUAGAGUGGAUCCCUAAGGGUCAAAUUUGCUCCCCUAGUUGAAUAUUAGUGAAGAUUAAAGUAUAUAUUGAACUAUUUGCUGUUCAGGUUCUUGAUAGUGAAAGAAUUCACUCAGAGUAUUUCUAUCUUUGGCUUAUUUUAUUCUCUUUUAUCCUUAUAAUUGAAAUUGAAAGGGUAGCAUUAUCCUGACAAAAUUUUUACUUUCAACCUACAAAUAUGUGAAGCUAUAAUCUAUAUAUUUUCUUACAUAAACAAAAAUUCAAAUUAAGACAAUUAUUAUUAUUUUAAGAAAGGAUAACACUGUCGAUUACCUUAAUGCAUGUAGUCUAAAAACCAAAGAAAACAAUCAUAGAUGUGGUCUCAGACUUCAUACACGGCAAAGACCAGAGAUGGCAAAUGGACAGCAAAAUGAUUGGUUCCAUGGCAUCGCAAAUAAAGCUAGAGGCAAUUGAAUUUGAGCCCCCUUAGUAGUUGUUCCAUCCCACAUAUAUGCUAAUUGUUAUUGUUUUUCAGGCAAUUGGGUGGAACGGGCCAUUUGCUGAUUUUAACACUGUUGUACUCAAUCGGGCACGGUAGGAGCAGUGGUGGGUAGCCGGUACUCCAUCUCUUCCCCUAAAUACCAUACUCCACUUGAACAUGAACUUGGCUCCUACCAAAGAAUUUAAGUCCUGAUGGGUGUAACUUGCCACAAUAUAUGUGAUUUCCUCGACUCAAAUCUAUACGGAUGCAUCUAGUUCGAUUGUGAUUCAAUUCUCGUCGAUUCUCUAAUUAAUCCAGUUGGACCCUUCCUUCAAUUAGAUUAGAGUAAAAAUAGGAGUAGAAUAAAUAAACAACGAAUGACAAAAAAAACACGGAAAAAAAAAAAGAACAUGGCUCCUUAUUAAUGCGGAGAGCACUUAUUUUGGAAUGACAAUAAAUGAUUUUCACUUUUUUUUUUGGAAUUUAACCUGAAUUUUCCACGAGUGGAAGAAUAUAAACACCAAAAGGAAACUGUGAAAAAAGCUUGAAGAAGAAAUAUAUUUACUUGUAAUUCCAUGUUGAUUUGUUGAAUCGGCAGGAGUAAUACGCAGCCUUCUUUCGAACGUUCGUGUUGAUUUCUCAAGUCUUGAGUCAUGCAAUUCAAUUUCAAUUCGUUAGCCAUCUCUCUCAUUUGCCCCGGAGAAACGUUCCAAGAAAUUCCUCUUCAUCGGCAGUUUCCAUUUGCCAAUGACCCGAUCAAAGGAGAUGAAAUGUAAUCCACUGGCUUGCUGGAUUUUCCUAGAAAUCCAGUGUACCUUUUCUUCCUCUUAUCUUUCAGCUGUCCCUCUCAAACUUUUUGCCCCUCUCCCACCCACCCCCCUCCCCUUUUUUGUUUUUUAUUGUUGCAGGGAAAACUUUUCUGUAACUUAAUUUAUCAUAUUUAACAGGGAGGAGAGUCUAAAGAACGGAUAUAUAGAUUUGAUUCGAUUAAAGAGGUGUUUUGAUACUUUUUUUAAAAAAAUUUCACAGUAGAUGAGACUCCUAAUCUACUACACAAAGAGUGAUUUAAUCCCUGUUUGAUAACCACUAAGCCAAAACUUGGUAGUUCUCCCACCCCCUUUUAAAAGCAACAUUCUUUCGAUUUGCCAGUAGACCAUUUACAUUGAUUUAGAGUCUAUACACAAGUACUGAAUCAACAUAUAAUCACGUAAUAAAUAUUAGGAUUUUAUUUGAGUAAAUCUUAUAUAUACUAACGGUGUAUAUACUAUCACAAUUGGAUAUACGACAGAUAUAUAAAAUUUGAGUUUCAAAUUUAAGUUCGGAUUAUAUGUCAUGCAUCUAACGGUAAAAGUGUAUACACUGUCAGUGUAUGGAAGAUUAAUCCAUUUUGAGUAAAUCUUGUAUUUAAGUUUCAAAUUCAAAUUCGGAUGAUGCGUCAUACAUCUCACGGUAAAAGUGUAUAUACUGCCAGUGUAUAGAAGAUUAAUCCAUUUUGAGUAAAUCUUGUAUAUACUGACGAUGUAUACACUAUCACGAUUAGAUAUACGAUAUAUAUAUAAAAUUUGAGUUUCAAAUUCAAAUUCGGAUUGCAUUCAAGAGUCAAAAGGAUGCAUUUUGUAAAAGAUGCACCAAAUUUAAGCUAGUUUCUUUUAGCAGCCACAAAGCUGAGGCCAUCUAUAUUCACUUUUAAUUUUUUUGAAGGCAUGAAGCUCAUGUUACAUCAGGGGUGAGACCAUGCAAAGAAACUCGUGUUAUUUGAAUUUGACCGCUUAGUUCCUUACAUUUGAAUUUCAACUUUAGUAAGUAUAACAGCCCGCCAUUUAUGUUCUAACUUAAGCCCGUAUUAAAUCAUUAAAAACCCCCCAAUUAACGACACACCCUAAAAUUGGUCAAUACUAGUAUUUUGACCCGUGCUAUGCGCGGAGUUAUAUUUCACUUUGAUUUCUGCGAAGGUACAAUGCAACACACCAUAAGUGAAAAGAUAAACAACGCGGGCCUGUAACACUGACCAGUGACCGCCACCUAAGCCGGAAUAGUAUUUACCAGGUAGUUUACAAUUGGAAAUAUUUUUUUGAUUGUAUUUUUUACACUUGGGAAUUUCGUAUGACUGCAAGGCUAUUGUAUUUUUUUACAUAAUAUGUGUUGAGAUAUGCCAAUUUCUCUACAGAUUUUUUUAGAUUGUUUUUGAUAUUAGAAUAAUUUAGUUAAUAAAAGAAUACGUCUUGUUAUUAGGAUAUAUGUUAUUCAAAGAUCAUAUUGGUUUUUUAACAAAAUAUUUUAGUUAAGAUUUGCUAGUAGAAAAUUAUGUUUUGUUGAGAUUUUAUAGGAUAAUUAUUAGUUAGAUGUUUUGUUAAUUUGUUUUACGUAAGUUGAUGAAUGAAUAACAUAAGUUCAUUUUCCAGCUUCAUACAAGUUUCUUAUAAGUCAUUUUUUUGCAACACUAAUAAAUACCUUUUUUUUUUUACAAGUUUCAUACAAGAUUAUGUUUCUCAAAAAUAUUUUUUUUGUGUACAUUAACUUCAUACUACAUAAAUACAAAUACUUUUGUAAACGCACCUCAAAUAUACCACACCAAUAACAUCUAAUACCAAUCAUAAUUACCUCAAAUCCAUUUACUAAUACCGAGAGAAACACAUGCCUACGUGGAAGCCCCUAACUUGUCUCGUAUCGCACAUGAGUUUCAGCAAUGUGGACCCACAUGCACCACGUGUCCGAAUAACAAUGCAGUUCUCGUACAACAUGAAACGCAGCUUAACAUUUUCCCCCUCAGAAUUUUAUGCAGUUGAACAAAGAGCCCCUUCCAGUCUUAAAAACAGUAGUGUAGCAACAAUUCUCUAUGCUUUUGCAAUUCCGGCCUCUCUCUCUAGGCCUCCCACCAAGUCCCAUCCCCUCUCUCUCUCUCUCUCUCUCUCUGCCAAAAAAAAAAAUGAGGGGGGACUGGAGGGCCUUAACCACCCUUUAGAUGAGUCCCCCACCUUCCGCCGCCACCAUCGCCACCGCCAUCAUCAUAACUACCAUCCUUAUAUUCACCGUCACCAACCCACCUCCCUCAGCCUAUGCACUCGGAGGCUCUGCCACCACGGUGGCCGUCAGCUACGGCUCGGCCACCACCAUCUGUACCUUACUCGCCGACCAACCCACCCAGCAAAUUCAAUGCUGGAGGAACGGCCAGGUUUUCCUAUCCAUCUACGCCCCCACCGUUUCUUUCGACUCCAUCGCUGGCGGUCUUGACACCGUCUGCGCUGUCCGCUCCGGCGGAUACAGCCUCCUGUGCUGGAAUGUUGCUAACUUCACCCCCAAAAGACUCUACCUCGGGUCUUCAACCUUGUUAACAAGCAUUACAAUUGGGGAUACUCAAAUUUGCGCCUUAACAAACGGUGCUACUAACGUCCGUUGUUGGCGCGGGGAGUCUCAUUCAGCAAGUUCGCCAAAUGGGACGUCGAGUUUCAGUUCAAUUUCAUCUGGGCUGGGCUUUUCUUGUGGAGUUGUGGGGAAUACUAGUAGGGUUGCUUGUUGGGGCAGUAAUACAAACACGGAUAUUCUAGCUUCAAAGAUAGAAACACAGUUUGCAAAUAUGUCGAUGAAGAACAUAUUUGCAGGUGGACAGCAUGCUUGCGGGAUGAAUACAGGUGGAGUGGUUAUUUGCAGAGGGAAUAACGACAGUGGUCAGUUAAAUGUGCCCGCUAAUUUCGGGUACGAGUACAAUGCCUUAGCUCUUGGUGCAAAUCAUACCUGUGCUAUUAGGUCACUAAACCACACAGUUGUUUGUUGGGGAGGAGGUGGAGAAUUUUCUAGCAGUGUUACGGAAGAUACCUCAUUUGAGUCAAUUGUUGCGGGGUUGGAUUUUACUUGUGGAUUAGUUACGAGUAAUUUUUCAGUGAUUUGUUGGGGGCCUGGAUGGCCUAAUAACUUGAAUCCUGCAGGCGUCGGGCUUCCAUUGCAGAGGACUCUUCCGGGGCCAUGUGUUCGUAGUAUUUGUAGAUGUGGUAUAUAUCCUCAAUCUCAAACACUCUGCUCUGGUAAUGGUAAUAUUUGUUGGCCUUGUGAUAUUAAAAUUUUAGCUCCACAGCCACAACCAUUAGGUCCAUCACCAUCGCCGCCUCCGCCUUCAAUUGGUCCAUCACCGUCCUCGCCCUCUAAAGCGCUGAGGAGGGGUUUAUUGGCCUUUGCCAUCGUUGGAUCAGUUGGGUGUUUUGCUGGGAUUUGUACUGUAGUUUAUUGUUGGUGGACUGGUGUUUGUUUUGGGAAAAAGAAAAUUCAUAAUUCAGUGCAACCUACUAUUAGUGCUGCUAGUGCUCCGCAGCAAUCAAACAGUAGUCCACCCUCAAGAUCAUCCACUCUUAGGCGGCAAGGAUCACGCCUGAUGAGGCGACAGAGGAGCGGAACAUCGUCAAAACAUGCGGACAGGGCAGAGGAGUUUUUGUUUCAAGACCUCGCUGCGGCCACCAACAAUUUCUCCAUGGAGAACAAGAUUGGUGCUGGGAGCUUUGGGGUUGUUUACAAAGGCAAAUUACUUGAUGGGCGCGAGGUUGCGAUUAAACGGAGCGAGACAGGUCCAAGAACGAAGAAAUUCCAAGAGAAAGAGAGCGCAUUUGAAUCAGAAUUAGCAUUCCUGUCGCGGCUUCAUCACAAGCAUUUGGUUAGGCUCGUGGGGUUUUGUGAGGAGAGGGAUGAAAGGCUUUUGGUUUACGAGUACAUGAAAAAUGGCGCGCUUUAUGAUCAUCUGCACGACAAGGACAAUGUGGAGAAGAGCAGCAGCGUGGUGAAUUCUUGGAAAAUGAGGAUAAAGAUUUCACUGGACGCUGCUCGGGGCAUCGAGUACCUUCACAACUACGCAGUUCCACCCAUAAUUCACAGAGAUAUCAAGUCAUCCAACAUAUUGAUCGAUGCAAAUUGGACUGCCAGAGUCUCUGAUUUUGGAUUAUCACUAAUGGGUCCAGAAUCGGAGCAAAAACAUUUUAGGCCGACCAAGGCAGCUGGGACAGUAGGCUACAUCGAUCCAGAGUACUUCGGUCUAAACGUAUUGACAGCAAAGAGUGAUGUGUAUGGUCUUGGGGUGGUAUUAUUAGAACUCUUGACGGGGAAGAGGGCUAUUUUUAAAGCAGGCGAAAACGAUGGUGCACCAAUGAGCGUGGUGGAUUAUGCAGUACCGGCAAUUAUGGCUGGGGAAUUGACCAAGAUUUUGGACCCGAGGGUCGGGCCGCCGGAGCUCAACGAAGCGGAGGCGGUGGAGCUGGUGGCGUACACCGCAAUGCAUUGUGUGAAUUUGGAAGGCAAAGAUAGGCCGACCAUGACCGAUAUCGUUGCUAAUUUGGAACGAGCAUUGGCUCUGUGCGACGAUAGUCAUGGCAGCAUAUCAAGUGGUCCAAUAUCCAUUGUUUCAGAUUGAACUCAAAAACAACUCCAGGUCACAAAAUUUUCAGUUUUUUCUAUUUAUUCUUUUCUUUUUUUCCCCCCGGUCAUUAGUAACCAAUUGAUGUGGGGAUUCUUUGUUUUGGAGUGUAAAGAGUAGGAUAUUUGUUCUAACGCGGGACGUAGCCUAGAAUUUUAUGAACGCUGACAAGCAAAUAGAAAGAUCGAUAAUUUAUUUUCAUGGAACAGCUACACUACUGUAUAUCCUCAAUUUCUUUUCUGUCUAGAAAUGCUCAUGUAUCGUUUUUUUUUUUUUUUUUUGGGUAAUUUGGACUUGGUCAGCCUUAGAGGGGGCUUUUUAUCCAAGGUUUUUAUGGUUUCACAAAUGUCCUUAAAUAAAUAUUAGUAUAUUAGAACAUGGGAUGAUAUGUAUAUAUAUAUAUAAAACAAAAGAAGUCUAAAACCGUAACAAAAGUGGUCCAGCGGGGCAUUUAAAACUUGCACGUUGGGCUAAUUUACUUCCUACUGAGAAUUGACUUUGAAAAUUCCAUUAAAAGCGGUCAAUUAAAAUCAAGUAGUCGCUCCAGAUGAUGACACCUGUAGGGCGGGCUCUCCUGUAUCCUCCUCCCAAGGCGGACCCACCCUGAGUUGUUUUGUCCUCCUCUUCCUCCUGCACUGCACGUUGAGUUUCUAUCGACUGUCUCCCAGGAAAUGUGAACUCUUGCUGGCUGUGUUGCUGCUCUGGCGCCGCCGCCUGCAAAACAUGUUUACUCGGUCCUCCUAAGUUUUUUAGUAGAACUUCCAAAUGUUCGAGAUAUUUUAAUUUUAAUUUUUAUAUGCACCAAGAUUUCAAGAUAACCAGUGCAGUGCACGGAGGGAUGGAUUAAGUGAUACGAUAAAAAGAGAUUAUAAAUGAGACAUUUCGAAUUCAAAGCUUUUCAUUUAAAUAAUAAUAAAAAAAAGUCGGACAUGAAAAUAACUAGUACAUGACGUCUGUAUUAGUACUGUCUAAUGUUCAUUUGGUAAUUUAUUGGAUACCUUUCUUUUUAUGAAUUGUUAGUUUACACUAAUAGCUAGUACAUGAUGUCCGUAUUAGCACGUUUGUCAUUCAUUUAGCAAUUUGUUAUGGAUAAUUUUUUUUUUUAUAAAUCGUUAGUGUAUAAUUUUUUAAUAUUGAUAAAUUUAAAUCAGGUUACAUGACAUAAUUCAAAUUGAAAAUUUAAAUUAUACACGACGUCGCAUACAUACAUCUAAAAGUUACUCCCUCCGUCCCACUUUGAUAGUCUUGUUUUCCUUUUUCGUCUGUCCUAAAUUGUAGUCCACUUUCCCAUUAAGAAAUGUAGUAAUCUUUCAAAUUGUCUAAAAUACCCUUAUUAAAUAUCUUGUUAUUAAUACAUUGUUAUUAAAUACUAACCCACUACAUUGAAUACAUUGAGCUUUUCUAAUACUAACCCAUUAGCUGUAACUGAUAUUAAUUGGCACUCUUCGUGAUUAGCAUAAGGGUAUUUUAGGAAAUUAUUAAUCUAAAUUUAUGUUUCCAACUAAAUUAAUUACACUUUCUUAAUCUGUGUGCAAAAAAAAAAUCAACACUAACAAAACGGGACGGAGGGAGUAAUUCAUAGCAAAACCAAUUCUUGAAAAUGAUAGAAGUAACUAACGUUCACCAAAUUACUCCGGUGCAAACAUUCUUGGUAUUAAAAGUCGGGACAAUGAAUGGUUGGCGGUUGAGAGGUGGAUUUGUAAAUGGGCGGCCGCAGACCAGGCCUCCCCAUGCACUAAUUCCUUGCUUCCAAUUUGCUUGCAGCUCUUUACAAACAUUUUUUUUUUUUUUUUUUUUAAAAGAAGAAGAAGAAGAAGAAAUCCUUCAUUUUUAUUGCGGGGCGUAGAUCUCAACGAUGCACGUGAGGAGGAUGUGAUUCUAUUGAACCCGUGCUAGUGAGUCGUGAGAAGGGGAAGAACAAUCAAUCUUCACAGUUACGGUGGAGUGCGCCGAGGUUCUUUAUGGGAGGAUCCGAAGAAGCGAGAGAAAUUUGUGUUACAAAUCCAACGUAAGAAUCUACACUGCUGAUAAAUUAUCUGCAGUGAUAGCUACUAUCAUUUUCACGCCAGACACAAGAUAGAACGUCGUACCACAUUCCCAAUGUAAAAUUGGAGCUCGUGAUAUGAAUACGAUUGUGGAUUUUGUCAAAGAAAGACUGAACAUCUUCAUUUGCCCUGCCCGUGUCUUGAAUUCGUGAACACCCCAUAAUUAUUAAUUAAACAACUUUUUUGACUUUUCUUUACUUGUGACGUGGCUUCUGAGUCAAUUGGUCCAAGAACUUGGUCUAACUCAUCUUCCUGAAUCCUGAGUCAGUCGUCUACUCCGAGUUCGAACCCUCUCACCUCGUCACAGCAAUAUUUUGGCAGCAAGAACCUGGGAUUUAGCAUAAGAUAAAAAAGUCAUCCAGAUUUUUAAGUUGUAGAUAAAAAUAAUUGUGUUUUUUCUGCACAGAAAUCUUCAAAGCUUCAAUCCUCUGUCUGGUAAAAGCUCUACUACGGUUGACAACUUUUGAGAUGAGUGAUUUGUGCGUUCACUUUUUUGACCCAGAUAAGGAAGGAUUAAGGAGGGAAGGCAAGAAAAUUUCUCCAUUCUCAAGCCCAGAAGUCCUACCUCUCAAUUUCCCUUCUAAGACACCUUUGGGUCAAAGCUUACCGUUACAUGAAAGAGAGAGAACCUCUAGAUGGCCUUAUUGAGUGAGUAGUAAUAAUUUUGGAACUCGGGCAAUGCAUCAUUUGAUUUGGGGUUCCAAAUUCGCCCAUAUGAUAGGGAUUGGGGGAUUGAAAUGUUGAAAUCAGGAAUGCACUGGUAGUGUACCCCUUUUUUUUAAAAUUUUGUUUUAUUUAUUUAUUUUUUUAAAAAAAAGGUCUGUCCAAGUAAUUGAAUUGAACAUUUUUCCAUUUUCAUUGUCGUUUAAAAUAGCUGCAUGAAGCCAAAGGGAAGUUGUUGCGCUGCAGAGAUCCCCAACCAACCAAUGAUUACUACAGUGUAACGUGUACACUGUACACGACGACUCCUGCUCUUUCUUCGCGGUCAAAAUUUUUGGUCAUCUGAUGAUCCCGUCCACUUUUUGUUUGACUUGGUGAAUUUUUUGUUUUUUUCAAAGCACGCUCAUAUUGAUACCAAAAAUAGAGUAUUGAAUAUUGACUGAAGUAUGACAAUUGACAGGUCGGGGUAACCAACAGAACAGGGUGGGGUUAGCUUUGCUCAUCCCAGGCAAAUUGCUCGUUUGUACCACCUAAUACGAUCGAGCGAGCGAAAUGGACAUGCUCACGUAAAUGGACAGCAUCACAAGGAAGCAUAUAUUUUCUUUGUUCUUAAAAAAUUUAGAGAUUGCAACACCCAAUCUCCAUACGAGUCCCUUUUUUUCAUAGUGCAGAUUAGUAUAUACCAGUUCUUUUGUACGAAUAGGAUAAAUUGUUGCCGUUGAAGAAAAAAAAAAAAGUGAGGCUGGCUUGCUUAUCCCGAGCAAAUUGUGCGUUUGCAUUUCUGAAGCGGUCCAAUUUCUGUUUAUCCCAACCAAAUUUCUUUUUUAAGAUUUGCCAAAGCCGAGAAAGAGCAAAGACGAAAAGGGAAGGCAAUUAACAACAUCGACCCCCCCCCCCCCCCCACAGAAGCUAGAAGCACGUCCAAGCCUCGUCGUUCAUCCCUUAUAGCAGCAACCCAGACAAAUGGAUGAAGAUAAGGAGAAUCAUGGGAGGAUGAGGCCUAGUUGGUGUUGGUGGUACACGCUUUGAUUGUAAGUUCCUGUGGGGUGCGUCCACUAGAAUUGAAUCAUUAAAUGAUGCACGCCCCGCUAAGCCAAACUCUCCAUAUAUUCGGGAGGGGAAGAUGAAGAUGAGAGAUGUCGGUCGGGCAUGGGGUUAUACAGGGCUACUUUGUGGAGACCACGCGGGGCUAGAGCUUUUACUCCAGCCACCGCCGUGUGUGCGCGCCUCCGCCUCUCUCUCUAUUCGGAAGAUAUGCACACACCUGUUCCUGUUCCUGCUCCUGAUCGCCCCUUCUGCCGCCCCUAUUUAUUGUUAUCCAGACUUGUUCAACAUCCACCAAGAACCUUUCAACAAUCUUCUUUUACAAGUAACAUUCCGCUAGGGGCCGUAUUCUAUUACUUCCAUGCCUACAACAAUCAAUCUUCCUGUUAACUGGCAAACUCAAUACGCGAUCAAUGGGGUUAACAAAGUUCUUCAUGUGACUAAAUAACAAAUGGAUAAAAUCCAAGAUUCUGAAACAUCCUCUAGCCUAGUAAUAUAUGCUCGGUAAGUCCUACACGGUGCAGCUUUAUUAAAAUCAUUAAACAGAAAAAUGAAUUCUUUGAUGACUGAACCCACUCUCACUCUAUACUUACCUAAAACCACACUCCUUGACAACUGAUAGUAGUAUUACUACUACGUGCUAAUCAGAUUCGAGGGUAUAUUCUUCUUUGCCGUUGUAGUUCAGCUUCAUUCAUCCAAUCUGACAGCCACAAAAGGCCAUUGUAUCCACAGUAUGCUACUGCAAUCAGCGUUACCAAAAUGAUGACAAUCAAAAGCACCUUUCUCGUAGCACCACUAAUAACCUGCCCAGCAAUAACAGAAAUCACCCUUAGUAAACCUACAGCAACAACAAACACAAAAUGUCUCAUUACUUCUCUCACGAUGUGACAAACCUGCAGUCUGGAAGCUUUCUUGUCUUCCUGAACCCGCUCCCUUCGCCUUCUUCGUUUUGCUACGGGUUUCUCACCAUCUGGUUCCUUUUUCUGUGGAAGCAGAAGAAAAGAACUAGAACUUAAAUAUCAAGCAUCAGGCACAUGCAUCACAACAUUUCCAUCAUGGCAACAACCUAUACACAAUACAAGGUGUCUAAACUCCAUCAAAGAACAACUUGUCAACAAGAAUAACAUAAUCAAACUUUAGGAUCUCCCAUUCUUCUCUAAAAAUUUAAUCUUCUUGAAUUUCACAUAGCAGUCCCAAAAGACUGGCAUAUUUGUUGAUGCCAAAAGAAUAGCAAAUGUGACAUUAUCACAUAAAUCAACAUAUUUAACAGGAAGUCAGGAAUUGCCUGUGUCACUACAGAUUUACGAAGUUGUAACUCAGAAUCAGUGAUCUUCAUUUUACUCCUGCAAUCCGGAUCACAAGGGAGAAGUCCAAGUCCAAAUUGAGUUUUAGGCACAUCUUUGGGAUCAGACCCAGCAUUCCUGUAGGCUUCUUGCACGUCUUUGCACGACCACUCCUUCUUCAAGGUCUGGCAUCCGCACCGAACAAUAACCUUAUGCAAGGAAGAUAAAUAGUGAAAUUCAAACUACUGGUAAAAGAGUCUCAAAGUGAAAAUAUUCGGAAAAUCACAAGGCAGUAAGGACACAAGCACAUGGAAAGUAGAAUGAUGAAGUAGUGCGCUGCAAAAUUAAACUACAAAACUGUACUAGACAACUAUAAACAAAUUUAACUUCAGGAUCAUAAUCUGAAUUUUGCAGAUUGUUUUGAUUUUACAGAACGAGAAUCCAAAACACAUAGCUACAUAUGAGGAGAAAUUUCCAAAAGUAGGAGAAAAUGAUUGUUCAUCCACGUAACAUAAAAUUACCUUUUUGGAGCACUUGUCAGGUGAUGGACAUUGACCACGAUGACAGAUCUCUGGACAUAGAUGCGUACAGUUUGGUAGCUUUCUGUUGCGCCAAAAUCAAAACUUUAACAUCACUAAAUUAGUUCAUAAACUUGAGGUUUCAUUUGCAUACCUCUCCCAAAUCUCAACAAAAGGAUUUGAUAUUAAAGAAGGAUUGAAUUGCAUAUAAUGCCUAAAGAAUAUUCCACACCCUUAAACAUUAAAAGCAAACACAUUCUAAGAACAGAGACUUAAAAUGUUGGAAAACUAGCAGUAAUUGAAAUCUAAAAUCAUAACAACCAUCCCAGGUGGUACUGUGGUAGCAACAAUUCUCACUACAUGACUGCAUUGUAGCAUAAUACUAGGGUUUUUCCAAAGAUAAGAAACCUUCAGUCCAAAAUAUAUUCACCUUUUAUUUUCACACAACACAACAGUACUAAAUCUACUAAUCAAAUAAAGGCAUGCUUUUUUCACACUGAGCUAUUAUAAAUAGAGAUAAAAUUAAAGCCUAUGUUACAGGCUGUACUUUCUAUUUCACAUCUCCUUUUCUUGCCCCCAGAUCUUUUAUGCUCAAAGAGUUCAUCAUAACUCCACUAAUGAAUAGCAAGCUCAAUUGUAGGAAGAAAAAUAGUCAUUUCUAUGAAGGAACCAACUACUACUUGUCGCCUAAACUGGCUUAUGUGAGCCAAUCCCCGAUGAUUUACUGCUGUUUUCUACAGAUUACAUGCAAUUGUUAUUCUUCUUUUUAGGGACAAUCUAUCAGAAGAUUGUACUAUAGUCUUCUAAAGCUUUAUCUAAACCAGUCUAUCCAUUUGUUUCUUAUAACUAGGCCUUAAAGAAAUUUCACCUAGGAAAUACUUGUACAUUUUUGGCAAAUAAUUUCUUUUAACACAAAAAAAAAAAAAAACUCAUGCAGGGAAGGGUAAUAAAGUAUAAAAACCCAGAAACAAAGAUGAACAACAAUGAAAGAUAAUGUUCCUGCUGGUAAAAGUUAAACUUCGAUAAGGUCUCUUCAAAAUGUCAAUUACUUUUGGGUCAAGCUACCAAAUUUCUCAAAGCAAUAUUAGGUGUUAAUGUUACAUUAUUUCCAUAUUUAUGGGAUUUUGGAUAGCAAUGCAUAGUUAUCAGGACAAAGAGUUCGUACGUUAAAAAGAAAGUUAAAGGGGACAAUCACUUCUAAAUGGAUUAAGUGUAUUAAUCACUUGUCAAUAUAGCCCUUUAUACAGUUUUUUUCCAGUUCUUUUGGAACUUUCCGAUGUCCCUACUUACAUAUACUUAAAGAAACACAGAAAAGAAGAAAAAAGGCGCUUGGAUCUGUACCCAUGGUUCUUUCUGCUCCAAUACUCAUUUAUUAGCAUAUGAAAAAAGAAGAUACAGUCUGCUGUAUGCCCUGAGGAAAAAAUAAAGGAAAGGAAGAUAUAUUACCUAUGACAUGGUCCUCCGCAUGAACGAACAGCCACUUGCUCCCUUUCGUCCAAACUAUUGUAAUAUAUGCACUUAAGAGCAUGAACCAUGGCACCGCAGUGGCAUGCACGCUUUAUUAGUGAAUGACACGGAGGGCAUUCUCCAGGAUGACACACCAAAGGGCAAGGAUGUGGACAAGGAGGGCUUCUCUCCUGAACGGUUCACAAGUAAAAGAUAGACAUACUUGAUACUAAAAUUAUUUGAAAAUACUGAAUUAUGAAUCUGUAAAUGCAAUAUUCAAAAUGUGAGGGAUCUUGUAGAAAGUUAGUUGCAAUAGCAACUAGUUAAGUUUUGGUGGUGAUCAAAAAGCUGAGAGCAACGAUUGAAAGUCUUACCUUUUGGCAAGGAAGAUUACACUCUUCACAUGAUUCAGCCAGUACAGAACUAUAUGAUUUCGAAUCGCUCUUCAAGGCAUGGCAUAUCUUUGUACAGUAAUGGUUGCCACAGGAAAGAAGAGUGCCACAUAAGUUGUCGCAUGAAAACUCUGCUGGAUUUGAGCAGAUCAUCUAAAAGGUGGAAGACAAAGAUGGUCAAGACUUUUCAAGAAAAGCAGACACGUGACACAACAAAGAGGUAAGAACAAGGAAUGCCCCACUUCUCCUUCCCAUCCACAAACACGCGCACACACACACUUGAAGGAGAUAGAAAAUAAAAAAUUCAAGUAUAUAUAAGUUCUGUGCGAACCAUCCUCUCUGCUCCUAUGUGAUUGCCAACACAUGAUCUCCACACCAGUUCAGGACAAGGAGGGCACAAUGUACCAGGAAUAUGUUCAGCCUCAUGACUUGACUUCUUUUUCUUUGGUUUCAAUGUAAACUCUGGAAGGGCAGGAGGUCUAGGGCCAUGGCACCUUUAAAAAGCACUACCAUCAAUAAUGCAUUGUAGUUUGAGAAAAGUGUGACUAGAAAAAGAGGUAUAACAAACUUCAGUAGAAUUGAAACCUUAAUUUGCACUUGUGCCCACAUGAGUAUUCUUCAUCACAGAUCAGACGACAAGGAGGGCAAGCUCCAUAAUGACACUUGUGUGGCUGAAUAAAUGUCGAAAGGAUUAGAAAUCAAAACUAGGCCGAAGAUAAUAACCUAGUAACACACACACACACUCAACAAUUUCACAAAAGUAGUACAAAAGCUUUGACUUCAGAAGAAAUGAACAAAAUACACAAGAUAAAUGGAAAGGAAGUUUCUACAAUGGUUCCAUAUCAAAUAUCAGUACAGUGAAUAAUUACAAACCUUGCAAAUUAACCUGUGGGUGCACAAUGGAGCUACACGACAUCGUUUGGGACAUUUAGGAGGCUUUUGCUCGGUCUCUGUGCCACAUGGAACCUAAGUAUGAAAUUCAAAGAAAGUUGUUAAUCAAUGUAAAGCAACAGAUUUAACAGUACAAGUAAUGCUCAUAAUUCUGCAUCAAUUGCAGAAGUUAAUCAAAAUGAGAUGUUACAAGUAAAAGAUGUUCAUAUUCAAAUCUACUUGCUUCACAACAAUAUACUGUACUUUCAAAAUGUUUCCCAACCAAAAAAUUAUAGUAUUACUACUUGAGAAAGAAAAAGUUUUAACUUUUCUCCCAUUUUUGUGCCUUAGCAAGCACCACAUCCGGAACGCUCCCAAUCCACAAACAUGAAACAUAAUGUACAUCGUAUAGGCAAAAAAGAGAUUGCACUGCUUUGUUAUAUGUUGUGACAUUUUCGGCAAUAAACAUUGCUUGUAAAGUUUCAUAUUAAUUGCAGAGGGGAAAAAGUGCUCACCUCAAAAUGUGUUUCCCCACAUGAACAUGAAAUCAUCACCAUCAGUGGACAAGGAGAACAGGCACCUCUAAAGAAGCAAAAUAAAAAUCAUUGAUAAUUUGUAACAUUAGUCUGGGCCAACAGAAGACCUAAUUUAUUUGAUUAGCUUCAUAAUUCUGGAAUUCACAAGUAAUUAUGUGGCACAACUACAGGCUUAACAUCCACAACUCGUUAAUUCUUUUAAAGGCAUUUUGUGCAAUAUACUGUACUCAAUAUUCGUUUCCAGGCUAAGCCAAAUUAAACUGUUUCAGUUGAGUACAAAAUUAUCAUUUGCAACCAAAUGUUGCAUAAUAUGAUGGUCCUUCAAACAUCCUAACCUUUUUAAGAGAAAAGGACAAUCUUCUCUUGAGAAAGCAAUUUUAAUGAUUCCUCAAAAUAUACAAGUGAACAAGUCUUUAUACUAAAUGUUACAAGAAAUUAAAAUGUGUAAUUGCUAAAAAAUAUAUUAUGUCUCCUUAAUCUUUGAUAAAAUGAAAAACCAGUCAGCAGAUGUAAGUAGGAUUCUACAUGGAAGCAAACGAAGUACAGAGUUAUGGUAAGUUUCACAUCACACAAUUCACCAAGAAGUGAGAUUUCAAGCAACGACUACAAUCUAAAGGAUCACAAGAUACCUAUGGCACGGAGCAGGGCAUUUGUGAUUCCUACAUCGAAGCCUCCUGUCACAAAUCUGCUACACCACUGGUCACACAUUUGCUGACAAUUAACUUCAAGAGACAGACUAAUACAGAAACUUUACACAAACCUCAGAACAAGGUGGGCAGUCCCCAUCACAACAGCGACGCUUGCAAGCAUGACGCCCACAAUCCCGCACUUUCUGGCACUUCCUUUCACAUGUUAAAUCUUGAUAACAAGGAAUCUGCUCUAAAAUCAAUUUACCAAUCUCAAUCCCAACUUCGUUGAUAAAAGAAUUUAUCUCAUUUUACCAAUCACUUUAAGAAUUACCUGUUUCCUUGCGCUUCCACACCUGCAGGACUUGGUUACAACUGUCCUGCAAGUCUCAAUGCAAGGCCCGCGAUGACAUCUUUCUGGGCACCUAUGGAAUCCACAGCUCAACAGCUUAUCACAAGUUGCUCCACAGAGAGGCACAGCAACAUCACAAGCCAUCCCUUCAUACACUCUCUUUCCACAAGGACAAGUCCUCUUCCCCUGGAGUGGACACUCACCACAAUUACCUUUAUGACACCCUCUCUCACAAACAUGCCUCCCACAGCCAAGCAACUUCUGGCAUGGAUUUUCACACCUAAAAAUCCUCUCACAACACUCUCUUUCCAGCUCCACCUUCCCGCAUUGGCACUUAUAAACCCCUUUUUUGCGACACAUCGGACAGUCACCAUCAUGGCAAAUUUCACCACACCUAUGGCUUCCACAAGCUAAUGUCUUUCUACAAACGCCUUUACAAGAAAAAUCCUUAAACCCGCAACGUCUCACGUCCUCUGUAGCCCCACAAUAACACUUGGUUUUAACCAAUUUCGGGCACGAGGGGCAGGGCCCUGGGUGACACAACAACAAGCAUUCGUGCCCACAAUUGUAUGUCAACGGCCUACCACAGAUUUCUCCACAAGAAUGAGGUAAAAUCCAGGGAUCAUGAGGUGGGUUUUCGAGUUUUCCACAAAAACAAUAGUAAUACUUGGGGGUCUGCGAUUUGGGAUACUCGAUCCGGCAUUUGGGGCAAUGCCAGCGGAGGGUGUCAUCGUUAAGAGUGGCGGCGCGUGAGGCAGCCCGUGCAGCUGCAAGAUUUGAGGAUUGGUGGGCCCAGGAUUGGAUACAGAGGAGGUGGAAGACUGCGAAGCAGCGGGAGGAGCAGGACCAGGUGGGAUCGGUGGGUUUGAUCCGUUCAAGGCAUAUGAGGCAUGAGAGAGCCCCAGAGCGAGAGGAAGUAAGGAACGAUUGGAUCUUUAUCAGGUCUUGAUGUUGAGGGGAGGAUUGGUGACCGGUGAGUUCGAGGUAGGAUUUGAAGAUGGUGGAGGAGAGGUCAGUGUGUUGGUGCUGGCGGGAACUGGUGCCGGAGUCGGAAUCUGAGUCGGAGGACGGUGGAGAAAGUGGCGGUAGGAGGGUGGUGUUGGAGGUCGCCAUUACGGGACUUCCUGCGGAAAUGAGGGUUUGGGAUGAAAUUUGCCUGUUUGCUUGUUGAAAUUGGGGCGCGGAGUUUUCUAACCGUCACUUCCGCGCGGCACAUUUCCCUGCAAUGGCCAAUUUGUGACGCGCGUCACCCUGCAUUUCGUUCCCUCUUUUCCUGGUGCUAACUUCUUCUGCAUAUUAUAGCGGGGCAAUUUCUAUACUGUAACUUGGCUCUUCUUCUUCUUCUCCUUCUUCUUCUUUUUUAUUUUAUUUUGGUCUCGACAAAAUCCCUUCAAUGUUGCUUUUGGGUGAUAAAUGGAAAGCUUAAAUAUAACUGAAACUGUCCAUUAGAAAACGAGGAAACAGACCCCUCCUCCACUUUGAUGAAUUCCCGUCAGGUUAUGGUACAAGUAGUUUUUAGUGCAUUAUAUAGCGAACACUUGGUUCGUUGGUUGGCAUAUUUCUUUUCUCCCAUCUUGCUUUUCCUCUUUAAGACCAGACGGCUAGACGCUAGACAGACCUGGUAAGAUACCAGGCGAUAAAGGUUAGGAACCUGGUGAUAAAGCGAAUCCCAGAAAGGAUUUUGCUGUUCAGAACCAUGAUCGACUUAGUGGCCUUGCAGUGUUACGUUACAGCUUCAAGGACCUUCUUAGAAAGCCUGUUCUACAAGCUUUUGUAAAUCCAAAGUAGAAAACCACUAAAGCAUGAGUUUUUAAAGUGUUUCUUCUCCAGAAUGAGUAAAUAUCCCAACCGAUUUAUGAUGGAUUUUAAUUCAUUUGACAACAGAAAAAGUAAAUAAGAAUCCAUAAAAGCUGUAGGGCGAAGCAAGGCAACACAUAAAACUGUUUUGCAUUAUCAACUGAUCAAUUUAAGCAAAGUCUGCGUACUAUUUACAAUUUGACAUCUGCACCAUAGGAAGAGCGUAGAAGAAAUGAUGGAACGAGCAAGACUGCUAUAUAUUGUUGGCUUUGGUUCUGGGCUUUGACAAUAUACAGAUACACAUAACCAGGCAUUGUUUACACAAUCUUUUAUUGCAUUGCACAAAACCAAUGGAAUAGGGAAAAGAUCUUAUAAUUUACACAGAUGGGUAUAUACCAAGGAGGCGAGGACUGAGGAGCAAAAGCCAGAGACUUGCCAUUGCAUCAGAUGAACUGAAAUCGCAUCAGAAGCUUUACCGACCUGUAUGGCUCCCCUUUUUGAUUAUGAAGAGGAACAGCUCGGAUGCCUUCUCUUAGUUCUGAAGCAGGCAAGCAUGUUUGUCCUCCAAAGUCAUCCUUAUCAGACAUAUCAUACUCAUGAACUUCAAUCCGAAGCAGAGCCAAUUCAGGAACUGUUAGUGGGAAUUCAAAGUGUUCAUUCCAAUUAGGUAUCCAAUUGUCCUCCAGCGUCCUUGUUUUCUUCAUCAGAGUAUCAGCAGGAACUCCAGCAAUCCCUACCUGCAUGGAGAUAUAUUUCAACCUACUCAGACAUCAAUAACGCAAUCCACAAGAGUAAAUAUGUAACAGAAGGUUGUUCACAAAUAAAGCAAAUAGUUCUCAUUAUUCUCGUAUGCUCUUGAGCACCUUUACCAUUUUUCUUCUCUUUGAACAAUCUACUAUACUCUUAGGCCUUGUGCUCAAGAAAUAUGGCAAUAUAAAUAUCUUUUGCAUUAAAAAUCUAGUGAAGAAAUUAACUAAUCAAUAGCUACUACUACUAAAAAAAAGACUACAAAGAAGAAGGCUAUUGCUACAACACAACUGUUCAGCUGAGAGCUGAAACCUAAAUGCCUUUUUAAUCAAACAACAGUUGUUGAAACAGUUAAAAGUUGGCAAUGAACUAAGUUUACCAGAACAUGGAGAUAUAUACUCAGUCCUUACUUACCCUUGCGUAGAAAUCAGGAGGGGAGUAAGUGUCAAAGUGUGUAUGACGGAAAUCAUAAUACCAUCCCUCACCCAUGAAUACUGUCACCUGCCCAAUAGCAAGGGAUCAGGGUUGAAUGCGAAUCAAUAAGUUUAGUCAGGUUACAGUUUCAAUGGGAAUUCAUGCACAAGAACACUCUGAUAGGAACAUUACGACUCCCUUUCUUUUUUUAUAAUUGACGUUUAAGAAAUUUGCUCUAGUGUACUUUUAUCUAUCGUUUUAUUAUCCCCAUACAAUAUUAAUUAUUUUUUCACAAUUUUACCCUUUUAUCUCUCUUUUUCAAUACAGGGUUCUUAAUUACUACUCCUAGUAAUUAUUGCUUCUCUCUUUGUAACAACCCUAGUAAUUGGACAAUUAAUGAGGGUACAAAAGGAAAGUAGUGUACAGAUUUAAGCAAUGAAAAACUUUUCUUAAUUGGUGUGCAAAACCUUAAACGUCAGUUAUAAAAAAAGGGAGGGAGUAUAUUUUGGGAACACGAGAAGAUAUUUGCCUAUUUAUGCAAUUACAUUACAGAUUAGAAAAUUUAUUUUAUUUUUCUUGAAAAUUUGUCAGACAGCUUAUACUGAUGUAAAACUCAUCUCACCUUCAGUGUAGUUUUAACUGGUAAUUUGGCUUUAGGGUCAAAAAUCUCAUUACCAGUCUUCAAUAAGAUAUCUGGUUUUCUAACAUAUCCACAGCCACCAUUGGCCCUGAACAUUCCACGCAUCACCCAGAGUGAUCUUCCAUAACCCUGUUGAAGAAAAUUGUCACUGAAAAUUUCCUUGAAAUAGACUUUGGCCUAAUUACUAUAAAUUAAAAUGAAAGGUGCCAAUAAAUUUACAUUGUAAUAUGCCAACAUCGAAGAACAAUAUGACAAUCAAGAUAAAAUGAUAACCUGCAUGUUUAGUGCGACCAUCUGUGCCCCAUGCAUCCAUCCAAUGAGGGGAUUGUAAUUAGAUGAGUCAAAACGUAUUCCCUUUGGGUAUACUCUCAACAAGUUCCUCUGAGUAAAACUGAAAGAGGAAUAUAGAAAAGCCUGGACAGCUUAUUAAUUGGAAAUGAUUACUUAAUUCAAGCGCAAGGUCAAGAAUUGAAGCCUAAAGAGAGGUAUUAUGGAUUAUGUUGUCGAUUGGAGCAUCAAUGCAGCAAGAUUCAAGGAUGAAACAGUACAUUUUACAGGGCCUAGAUGAUCGAACUACAUACCAUGACUAUAAAACCCCAUUAAUGAAGGCAAAAUAAGCUGAAUACAUGUGUAUCUGAGUAUCCAGCAAGAACAAUUGUUCUAACUAUGACGAUCUAUAGUAAUCAGGAUGACAUCUCUCAGGAUUACUUUUAUACCAUUUACAAUGCAGGGAAACCCCUAGAGAAGUCAAGCAAAAGCUACUGCACGAAGUAUGCACUGGUUGUAUGUUGUAGACAAAGUAACAUGAUCAACAUAGUACCUUAUAAUUUCUUUUGCAUGAGUUACAGCAGCCUUCUCAAGUUCUAGCUCACUUAAACUAAGGCGUCUCACUUUGUUAGGAUCGAGCCUCAGCCAAUCAUCCAGUCCACCCUUUCCCUUUCCAGCAUGGAUUGCAAUCAAACGUUUAUAUUCUGGGACUGCAAUUUGCUGAGACUUGCGAUCUACUUCAUCAUCGUCAUCGUCCUCAUGAGCUUCCUCUUCAUUGAGAUCAUCCUGCAACAAACAGCUUAUGUAGAAAAGUUUAAAUUGAAAACAACGCACGAAGCUGUAACUCAAAUUGUGAUUAUCAGUUAAGUAAUUGGAAUGUUCAGUCAGACCUCAUCAUUGGUCCUAGAUUUAUUAAUUGAGAUUUCUCUUCCCCAAGGUUCUGCUUCAGCUGAUUGUUUUCCUUCCUUCACUUCAUUCUGUUCUCCACUAAGGUCUUUUGCCUCUAAGUACUCCUUAGGUGGUUUAGUUGAUAUCAUAACCUUUCUUUUCAAGGAUUCUGGCGAGGGAAACUCUCUUAGACCGUCUGAUCCAGGUACGAACAGCAUAUCUCCAAAUGUUUCAUUAAUCAUCUAAGAUUUUUUAGACAUUGCAAAUGUUAGCAGUAGAGCAAUGAAAGUACUAGUUACUCUCUGUCCAAAGUGCAAUUUUACACACCUCAGCUACUUUAGCUUGAAGAUGCCGAGGAAGAUGGUCUUCAAGUGUGAUAACAACAGGAUACUCGGAUGCAGAGAAUGCAUGCUCUUUAAUAGACCUCAAGCAUUUGAUGAGUUGCACAGGAGUUGUCAGCGUCCUGUAUAAGAAAGUAGAUAUCUUGGCUAAUUACAACUUCAUUUCCAACUUGGAACCAAUUAAUGUCCGACUCAAAAAGAAUCCAUACACAAAUUGAGUUAAUUUCUUCGAUGAAGAUCAGUACCUUCCAUGCAGGACAUCAACAUCAUCUUUUGUGGAAUUAGGCCAUAUAUCCAAUUCGAUUACUCUCACACCAUUCUGGAGUGCAUUUAUUAUAGGGACAUCGCUGCAGUCACUACUUAGCUGAUUCCCAGUCAAAUAAGAAUUAUGCCCGGUAUAUAUAUAGUAAUGAGACAAUGGAUCAUGCAUAUCAUGAUGAACCUGUUUUGUUUGAAACAAAAAACCCACCUCAUAAUCAUUUAAAAAAAAAAUCAACUCUGAUGCUUAGAAAUUGAUAUAAAUGGAGAAGAAAUGGAAUUACCCCGCGACGAGGAUCAAUAGGAGGAUUAAUAUCUCCAAAAAGAUACUUGAAAAAUUGCUCAAGAUUAAGACCGCUGCGAUGGAAAAUGUUGAGGUGUUUAGGCUCAUGAAGGCUAUUUAUGAUGGCUCCAGCAUCCUCCACCGUGGCAUUCUCUUGCUUUUGAACUUCAACCAAGAAACGAUGGAGGUUAUCAACGCUUAUGGUCCCGUUUUCGGAGUAGCGGUCGAAUAUGGACUUGAUUUCAGCCGGGGCCUCUGCAGAAGCCAGCUUGAACCUUCGCCGGCAACAAAAGCAUACUCUGUAGGUCUGUUUAGACAUGCGAUUGGAUUUUGGAUUUACGUCAACUAAAAGUGAAAGAAGAGAAGAGGAGUAGAGUUGAUUAUGGAUGUUGAGGAUUGAGGAUCUUAGGUGUUUUUUUUUAUCAAGGAUGGGAUUUGAGGAUAGCUUUGCUUGUGAAGAUGGGAAGGCAUUUCCGGAGAUUGGACCGGGCAAAGUUCACUGUCGAACUCGGAACCAAAUCCAACCAACCGAACUUUUUCCUACAGGGAAAAAAAAAAAAAGAAAAGAAAAGAAAAAGAUAACGAUUCUGGUUUGGGAAACCUUUCAAUCGUUGGAUUUUGUUUGUGGAUAAAGGUCGGGUUCUGGUAAGGUUGCAAUAUCCUGCAAUUCUGGAACGUCCCCAACCUUUACGCUUUACUUCUUAUUGGUCCAGCUCUGGUGGUGAGCUGUGAGGUCAUUGUUGAUUGUUUCUCCUUUUUGUCUCCAUGCAUACAGCUGGUUGCCCCGCUGGGCCGGCCACCAUUGGAUCAAAGAAAAUUGUGUCUAAUUCAGUCAAUCAAUCAAUGAGGCCCUCCACCUCAUUAUCGAGUGGAGGAGUGUCACCAAUGAACAACCCCAAUUAAAUCCCAUUACUUGCAAAGAUAAUCACAUUUCAUUUCACGUAUUUUUUUGUCAUCUAAGGAGUAAUAAUUAAAGAGUAAAUUUCAUAUGCACUAUAAGUAUACACACUAUCACGAAUAAAUGGAUGACACGUAAUCAAAUUUUACACAUGUAUUAUAUAUUUAAUAGUGAUAGUGUAUAUAAGAUUAAUUCAUGAUUAAAUCCCAUUACUUACAAAGAAUAUCAUAUUCACGUACCCCUUUUGUCAUCUAAAGAGUAAUAAUUAAACAUUAAAGAGCCUUUUUUUGGGAUAAUUUCAGAAACCGUCCCUAAUAUUUUUGACAAUUUCACUAAGCACCUCUAAGGUUUAGAAAAAGAAACUUAUUCAUCUCUAAGAUGUUUUGCUUGCAGGGAAUUGUCUCUAAUUAGUUGUUGCAAGAUACGAUAUUUGCGCAGUGAAGAAAUCUUCUGACUAUUUUGGCCUUUCAAUUAUGUUUAAAUUGUCUGCUCACUUCUCCUCUUUUUUUUUUAACUUAAAAUGCAACAAAAAAUUAAACUGACAAUAAGAUGAUAGAUAGUUAAAUGAAAAAAAAAAGGGGACAAUUUUCAUUCUUUGACUCUUUGAAUUAGAUAUGAAGCAGGAUAAAUUUGUGCCUCAACAGGAUGAUAUAAAUUUGUGGCGAACUGGUUAUAAAGUUACAACUCACUGAAAUUCGCAGAGAAUCCGGUUCCCUGGCAUUGCCACCCCACCAAUCAGAGAGCAAUGCCCUUUGUGUUUCGCUGAUGUCUACAAGAAAAUGUUUACUUGAACCAUUUUUUUUUCAAAAAAAAAAAAAGAAGUUGUAUCUUGUUACUGCAAUUGCAGCACUCCUCUGUACAAACGAUCUGGUCGCGCAAAUCCAACUCUACUACAACAUUAAGGAUGGAAAAGAAGCGCGUCGCGGGCGGGCUUGAAGGAUGCAGUAGGGUUCAUAUAAACUGGAACCGCAUCAGAAGCCUUACAGAUCUAAGUUUCUCUCCUUUCUUAUCGUAAAUUGGAACUGCUCGGAUCCCCGGUCUCAACUCCGAAACAGGCAAGCAUGUCUGUCCCCCAAAAUCAUCCUUCUCCGACAUGUCAUGCUCACGGAUUUCAAUCCGAAGCAAAGCUAACUCAGGAACUGUCAAUGGGAAUGUGAAAUCCUCAUCCCAUAUCGGUCCCCAGUCAUCCUCUAUUAUCCUCGUCUUUUUCUUGGCCUCAUCUGCAGGCACUCCUACCAUCUGAACCUGCAGUUCAUGAGGAAAUUAUCUUAGGCUCAACCUAUUGAACAAGAUUUAAUAUGUUAAGGAGGAAACAAAACAGAAGAAAUAGAUGAACGCGUCAACAGAAGCAGCAGAUUGCAACAAUAUAUCAGUUCAGCCACUCAUUACAUGGGUAUAAGCUCGCCAGAAGUUCCAUUUUCGAACGUCUUAAAAGUUACCAUCGCAUCAAAACAGGAAAUAUCAUAUCAUAUCUAUCAGGAUAACACUUUUAAACCAAUUUUAGUCGCUGACCUUUGUGUAGAAGUCUGGCGGUGAAUAUGAAUCAAAAUGUGUGUGACUGAAAUCUAAUCGCCAUCCAUCUCCCAAAUACACGCUUACCUGUGGAAAAAAUGAUUAAGCUGUAAUUAAUAUAAGUCAUCGGGCGGUUGGAGUUUGCAAUAGCCACUGUCAGAAAGGUGCUCACCUUUAAAGUUUUCUUAACUGGCAAUUUUACUUUAGGAUCAAAUAGCUCAUUCCGCGGUCCCCUUUUCAUGAGAAAGUCAGGCUUCUUAACGUAACCGCAACCUCCAUUAGAUCCGAACAACCCAUGCAUCAACCAAAGUGAUUUUCCAUACCCCUGUUUGUUUGGGUUAAGAAAGAAAAUGAUUUCACUAAAUCCGUUGGUGAAAAGAAUCCUCAACUAAGAUGAAUACAUGCCGACACAAAUGUGGUAAUCAUAAUCAAAUUAUGAAAGUCGAUUGCUUGCUUGUGUACUGUUUCUGUGAUGCAUGUUACCAUUGAUGCAACAGAAGUCAUUGAUGGUUUAUCCCUCGCACAAACUGCUUGUCCAUGCUGACAUGUGAGCAUGGAGCAGUGUAUAGAUGCUGUAUUAGCAGAUUUGCAUGACAUUCUACUUGGAUCACUAUUUACGACAAAGACAAUAAGGAUUUCUGGAAAUGCCAGAGAAGUUAAUUCAAUAAAACUUUUAAUGUAAUUAAACUGCCGGGAAGUGUUAUGUUUAAGAUAAGGACAGUGAAUGAGUGCAUGACCAAGCUCGGAUUGCCAUUCCAGGAGUUUAGGAACACAAGAUUUGAAAACUGACCUGCAUAUUGAAUGCAAGCAUUUGAGCUCCAUGCGUCCAGCCAACUAAAGGGUGAAAAUUGGACGAGGUUACUCUUGUUCCCUUUGGAAACACCCUCAGAAUAUUCUUCUGUGUAAACCUAGAAUUCAAAACUGAAUUCAGCUAAAACAAAAUGUUGGUAGAAGACCAGAUGGGACAGCUAUUGUGAACGUCAAAAGCAAUCUAGCAAUCUUCAACUUUUACUUCAAGUGAAUACCUCACAACAUCAGUUCCAUAUAAAGAUGCAGCCCUUUCAAGGUCUUGUUCAGUCAAACUAAGACGCUUAACUUUGUCCAGCCCAGUUACUAAUGCGUGCCUCAACCCCUGUUUUGCCUUCCCAGCAUGAAUAGCAAUGAGACGCUUGUACUCCGGUGCUGCUAGUUGGGAUGAUUUUUGGUUUUGGAUGUCUCCAUCUUCAUCAUCUGGAUCACUAUCGUACUGAAAUCAUAAACCAAUAAACAUUGCAGAUGAAAUUUUGAGUAAUAUUCAACGGAUGACAAGAAAGAUUCUAUGAAAUGUACCUUUGGGUCGCCCUCCAACGUAUCCUUCAUAAAAAAAUCAUCUUCAGAAGAAUCCUUUUCCGCAGGUGAAGAAGUUCCUUCUUUCUGAUUCUUUAUUUCAAGGUACUCUUUUGGUGGUUUGGUUGAAAGAAUUAUUCGAUGCUUCAAUGCUUCCGGAGAGGGAAAUUCUUCUAAGCAUCCCGACUCCGGGUAAUACAGCAUUUCUCCAAAAAUUUGAAUUACCAUCUAGAAGCAGAUAGGUUAUAUCAGUUGCAAUGUUGAUGUUUUCUCAGUCUUAAAAAAAAAGGAAGAACAAAUAGCGAGAAACUCCAACCUCUGCAACUUUAGCCUGAAGGUCCGGAGUGAGGUGAUCCUCCAAAGUAAUUAUUACAGGGUAGGGAGAUUUGACAAAAGCAUGCUCCCUAAUAGACUUCAAGCAUUUAAUGAGUGGCACUGGAGUGGUCAGCGUCCUGAAAAUGAUCAACAAGGUUAAAUUUUCUUACAUUGCCAUUUCCGGUAAGAGAAAAUUUAGAAGUGUCCCUAAAAAUAGACGCAGCAAAAUUGAAAUGUGAAUAUAUAUCAGACAAAUAGUUUCUGGCACAGAUUUCUAAAUGUGGACAACUAGAGCAAAGCAAAUGAUAGAGAAACCCAUGCUGGUUAUUUUGGGAACACGAGAAGAUAUUUGCCUAUUUAUGCAAUUACAUUACAGAUUAGAAAAUUUAUUUUAUUUUUCUUGAAAAUUUGUCAGACAGCUUAUACUGAUGUAAAACUCAUCUCACCUUCAGUGUAGUUUUAACUGGUAAUUUGGCUUUAGGGUCAAAAAUCUCAUUACCAGUCUUCAAUAAGAUAUCUGGUUUUCUAACAUAUCCACAGCCACCAUUGGCCCUGAACAUUCCACGCAUCACCCAGAGUGAUCUUCCAUAACCCUGUUGAAGAAAAUUGUCACUGAAAAUUUCCUUGAAAUAGACUUUGGCCUAAUUACUAUAAAUUAAAAUGAAAGGUGCCAAUAAAUUUACAUUGUAAUAUGCCAACAUCGAAGAACAAUAUGACAAUCAAGAUAAAAUGAUAACCUGCAUGUUUAGUGCGACCAUCUGUGCCCCAUGCAUCCAUCCAAUGAGGGGAUUGUAAUUAGAUGAGUCAAAACGUAUUCCCUUUGGGUAUACUCUCAACAAGUUCCUCUGAGUAAAACUGAAAGAGGAAUAUAGAAAAGCCUGGACAGCUUAUUAAUUGGAAAUGAUUACUUAAUUCAAGCGCAAGGUCAAGAAUUGAAGCCUAAAGAGAGGUAUUAUGGAUUAUGUUGUCGAUUGGAGCAUCAAUGCAGCAAGAUUCAAGGAUGAAACAGUACAUUUUACAGGGCCUAGAUGAUCGAACUACAUACCAUGACUAUAAAACCCCAUUAAUGAAGGCAAAAUAAGCUGAAUACAUGUGUAUCUGAGUAUCCAGCAAGAACAAUUGUUCUAACUAUGACGAUCUAUAGUAAUCAGGAUGACAUCUCUCAGGAUUACUUUUAUACCAUUUACAAUGCAGGGAAACCCCUAGAGAAGUCAAGCAAAAGCUACUGCACGAAGUAUGCACUGGUUGUAUGUUGUAGACAAAGUAACAUGAUCAACAUAGUACCUUAUAAUUUCUUUUGCAUGAGUUACAGCAGCCUUCUCAAGUUCUAGCUCACUUAAACUAAGGCGUCUCACUUUGUUAGGAUCGAGCCUCAGCCAAUCAUCCAGUCCACCCUUUCCCUUUCCAGCAUGGAUUGCAAUCAAACGUUUAUAUUCUGGGACUGCAAUUUGCUGAGACUUGCGAUCUACUUCAUCAUCGUCAUCGUCCUCAUGAGCUUCCUCUUCAUUGAGAUCAUCCUGCAACAAACAGCUUAUGUAGAAAAGUUUAAAUUGAAAACAACGCACGAAGCUGUAACUCAAAUUGUGAUUAUCAGUUAAGUAAUUGGAAUGUUCAGUCAGACCUCAUCAUUGGUCCUAGAUUUAUUAAUUGAGAUUUCUCUUCCCCAAGGUUCUGCUUCAGCUGAUUGUUUUCCUUCCUUCACUUCAUUCUGUUCUCCACUAAGGUCUUUUGCCUCUAAGUACUCCUUAGGUGGUUUAGUUGAUAUCAUAACCUUUCUUUUCAAGGAUUCUGGCGAGGGAAACUCUCUUAGACCGUCUGAUCCAGGUACGAACAGCAUAUCUCCAAAUGUUUCAUUAAUCAUCUAAGAUUUUUUAGACAUUGCAAAUGUUAGCAGUAGAGCAAUGAAAGUACUAGUUACUCUCUGUCCAAAGUGCAAUUUUACACACCUCAGCUACUUUAGCUUGAAGAUGCCGAGGAAGAUGGUCUUCAAGUGUGAUAACAACAGGAUACUCGGAUGCAGAGAAUGCAUGCUCUUUAAUAGACCUCAAGCAUUUGAUGAGUUGCACAGGAGUUGUCAGCGUCCUGUAUAAGAAAGUAGAUAUCUUGGCUAAUUACAACUUCAUUUCCAACUUGGAACCAAUUAAUGUCCGACUCAAAAAGAAUCCAUACACAAAUUGAGUUAAUUUCUUCGAUGAAGAUCAGUACCUUCCAUGCAGGACAUCAACAUCAUCUUUUGUGGAAUUAGGCCAUAUAUCCAAUUCGAUUACUCUCACACCAUUCUGGAGUGCAUUUAUUAUAGGGACAUCGCUGCAGUCACUACUUAGCUGAUUCCCAGUCAAAUAAGAAUUAUGCCCGGUAUAUAUAUAGUAAUGAGACAAUGGAUCAUGCAUAUCAUGAUGAACCUGUUUUGUUUGAAACAAAAAACCCACCUCAUAAUCAUUUAAAAAAAAAAUCAACUCUGAUGCUUAGAAAUUGAUAUAAAUGGAGAAGAAAUGGAAUUACCCCGCGACGAGGAUCAAUAGGAGGAUUAAUAUCUCCAAAAAGAUACUUGAAAAAUUGCUCAAGAUUAAGACCGCUGCGAUGGAAAAUGUUGAGGUGUUUAGGCUCAUGAAGGCUAUUUAUGAUGGCUCCAGCAUCCUCCACCGUGGCAUUCUCUUGCUUUUGAACUUCAACCAAGAAACGAUGGAGGUUAUCAACGCUUAUGGUCCCGUUUUCGGAGUAGCGGUCGAAUAUGGACUUGAUUUCAGCCGGGGCCUCUGCAGAAGCCAGCUUGAACCUUCGCCGGCAACAAAAGCAUACUCUGUAGGUCUGUUUAGACAUGCGAUUGGAUUUUGGAUUUACGUCAACUAAAAGUGAAAGAAGAGAAGAGGAGUAGAGUUGAUUAUGGAUGUUGAGGAUUGAGGAUCUUAGGUGUUUUUUUUUAUCAAGGAUGGGAUUUGAGGAUAGCUUUGCUUGUGAAGAUGGGAAGGCAUUUCCGGAGAUUGGACCGGGCAAAGUUCACUGUCGAACUCGGAACCAAAUCCAACCAACCGAACUUUUUCCUACAGGGAAAAAAAAAAAAAGAAAAGAAAAGAAAAAGAUAACGAUUCUGGUUUGGGAAACCUUUCAAUCGUUGGAUUUUGUUUGUGGAUAAAGGUCGGGUUCUGGUAAGGUUGCAAUAUCCUGCAAUUCUGGAACGUCCCCAACCUUUACGCUUUACUUCUUAUUGGUCCAGCUCUGGUGGUGAGCUGUGAGGUCAUUGUUGAUUGUUUCUCCUUUUUGUCUCCAUGCAUACAGCUGGUUGCCCCGCUGGGCCGGCCACCAUUGGAUCAAAGAAAAUUGUGUCUAAUUCAGUCAAUCAAUCAAUGAGGCCCUCCACCUCAUUAUCGAGUGGAGGAGUGUCACCAAUGAACAACCCCAAUUAAAUCCCAUUACUUGCAAAGAUAAUCACAUUUCAUUUCACGUAUUUUUUUGUCAUCUAAGGAGUAAUAAUUAAAGAGUAAAUUUCAUAUGCACUAUAAGUAUACACACUAUCACGAAUAAAUGGAUGACACGUAAUCAAAUUUUACACAUGUAUUAUAUAUUUAAUAGUGAUAGUGUAUAUAAGAUUAAUUCAUGAUUAAAUCCCAUUACUUACAAAGAAUAUCAUAUUCACGUACCCCUUUUGUCAUCUAAAGAGUAAUAAUUAAACAUUAAAGAGCCUUUUUUUGGGAUAAUUUCAGAAACCGUCCCUAAUAUUUUUGACAAUUUCACUAAGCACCUCUAAGGUUUAGAAAAUUACACAUACUCCCUUGUCAUUUAAAAUGACAAUACUACUCUUAAAUAUUUUAAUGAAAUUCUCUUGUUUGGUAUACUUAUACUUAGAAUGACUUUAAAAUUACUUUUUCAUUCUUUUUCCUUCUUAUCCUUUUUAUGUUAUUUUUUUGGCCAAUAAAAUUAUAAAAUUACCACUAUUAUCUUUAGUUUCUAUUGUAACCAAAUGUCAAACUAAUGUUUUUUUUGAUGAGUUAACUUUAUAUGUAAUCCUAUGUUUUUUGCUAAUCUUUGUUUUCUAUUUUUUGGUAUUAAAAUUAAUAAUAAAUAAAAAAGAAAUUACCCAAAAUCACUAUUAAACUAUAAUAAUCCCACUAUUCAAAAAAUUCAUAAACUAUGAAACAAUUAUUUCAAUAUUUUAUUUUCUAUCUUAUAAAUCUAAAUCCAUAGUAAAAUACCGUCAAAAGUAUCCUAUCAUAGUGAUAAAAUUAUUAUUAUUAUAGUUGUUUAUCAAAUAGUAGAUAUGGAUAUGAAAAAUUCGGCGCCUUUUCCUUAUAAUUACAUUAGAUAAUUUUAUAAUUCUAUAGGGAAGUAAAUUAAAACUCAUUACAUAAGGGCAUUUUUGGAUAUUCAUUUAAAAAUUUGACCAAGUCAAUAUUAUUUUAAGGUUUUGUUACUAAAACUAUCAAAUCAAGAGAGGUAUGUGCAAUUUUUUAAAUCUCGGGUGAGUUCAGUUUGUUUCUGAAAUUAUCCCUUUUUUUUUACUUGUAAACUUGCUCAUCUCUAUGUUUUGCUUGCAGGGAAUUGUCUCUAAUUAGUUGUUGCAAGAUACGAUAUUUGCGCAGUGAAGAAAUCUUCUGACUAUUUUGGCCUUUCAAUUAUGUUUAAAUUGUCUGCUCACUUCUCCUCUUUUUUUUUUAACUUAAAAUGCAACAAAAAAUUAAACUGACAAUAAGAUGAUAGAUAGUUAAAUGAAAAAAAAAAGGGGACAAUUUUCAUUCUUUGACUCUUUGAAUUAGAUAUGAAGCAGGAUAAAUUUGUGCCUCAACAGGAUGAUAUAAAUUUGUGGCGAACUGGUUAUAAAGUUACAACUCACUGAAAUUCGCAGAGAAUCCGGUUCCCUGGCAUUGCCACCCCACCAAUCAGAGAGCAAUGCCCUUUGUGUUUCGCUGAUGUCUACAAGAAAAUGUUUACUUGAACCAUUUUUUUUUCAAAAAAAAAAAAAGAAGUUGUAUCUUGUUACUGCAAUUGCAGCACUCCUCUGUACAAACGAUCUGGUCGCGCAAAUCCAACUCUACUACAACAUUAAGGAUGGAAAAGAAGCGCGUCGCGGGCGGGCUUGAAGGAUGCAGUAGGGUUCAUAUAAACUGGAACCGCAUCAGAAGCCUUACAGAUCUAAGUUUCUCUCCUUUCUUAUCGUAAAUUGGAACUGCUCGGAUCCCCGGUCUCAACUCCGAAACAGGCAAGCAUGUCUGUCCCCCAAAAUCAUCCUUCUCCGACAUGUCAUGCUCACGGAUUUCAAUCCGAAGCAAAGCUAACUCAGGAACUGUCAAUGGGAAUGUGAAAUCCUCAUCCCAUAUCGGUCCCCAGUCAUCCUCUAUUAUCCUCGUCUUUUUCUUGGCCUCAUCUGCAGGCACUCCUACCAUCUGAACCUGCAGUUCAUGAGGAAAUUAUCUUAGGCUCAACCUAUUGAACAAGAUUUAAUAUGUUAAGGAGGAAACAAAACAGAAGAAAUAGAUGAACGCGUCAACAGAAGCAGCAGAUUGCAACAAUAUAUCAGUUCAGCCACUCAUUACAUGGGUAUAAGCUCGCCAGAAGUUCCAUUUUCGAACGUCUUAAAAGUUACCAUCGCAUCAAAACAGGAAAUAUCAUAUCAUAUCUAUCAGGAUAACACUUUUAAACCAAUUUUAGUCGCUGACCUUUGUGUAGAAGUCUGGCGGUGAAUAUGAAUCAAAAUGUGUGUGACUGAAAUCUAAUCGCCAUCCAUCUCCCAAAUACACGCUUACCUGUGGAAAAAAUGAUUAAGCUGUAAUUAAUAUAAGUCAUCGGGCGGUUGGAGUUUGCAAUAGCCACUGUCAGAAAGGUGCUCACCUUUAAAGUUUUCUUAACUGGCAAUUUUACUUUAGGAUCAAAUAGCUCAUUCCGCGGUCCCCUUUUCAUGAGAAAGUCAGGCUUCUUAACGUAACCGCAACCUCCAUUAGAUCCGAACAACCCAUGCAUCAACCAAAGUGAUUUUCCAUACCCCUGUUUGUUUGGGUUAAGAAAGAAAAUGAUUUCACUAAAUCCGUUGGUGAAAAGAAUCCUCAACUAAGAUGAAUACAUGCCGACACAAAUGUGGUAAUCAUAAUCAAAUUAUGAAAGUCGAUUGCUUGCUUGUGUACUGUUUCUGUGAUGCAUGUUACCAUUGAUGCAACAGAAGUCAUUGAUGGUUUAUCCCUCGCACAAACUGCUUGUCCAUGCUGACAUGUGAGCAUGGAGCAGUGUAUAGAUGCUGUAUUAGCAGAUUUGCAUGACAUUCUACUUGGAUCACUAUUUACGACAAAGACAAUAAGGAUUUCUGGAAAUGCCAGAGAAGUUAAUUCAAUAAAACUUUUAAUGUAAUUAAACUGCCGGGAAGUGUUAUGUUUAAGAUAAGGACAGUGAAUGAGUGCAUGACCAAGCUCGGAUUGCCAUUCCAGGAGUUUAGGAACACAAGAUUUGAAAACUGACCUGCAUAUUGAAUGCAAGCAUUUGAGCUCCAUGCGUCCAGCCAACUAAAGGGUGAAAAUUGGACGAGGUUACUCUUGUUCCCUUUGGAAACACCCUCAGAAUAUUCUUCUGUGUAAACCUAGAAUUCAAAACUGAAUUCAGCUAAAACAAAAUGUUGGUAGAAGACCAGAUGGGACAGCUAUUGUGAACGUCAAAAGCAAUCUAGCAAUCUUCAACUUUUACUUCAAGUGAAUACCUCACAACAUCAGUUCCAUAUAAAGAUGCAGCCCUUUCAAGGUCUUGUUCAGUCAAACUAAGACGCUUAACUUUGUCCAGCCCAGUUACUAAUGCGUGCCUCAACCCCUGUUUUGCCUUCCCAGCAUGAAUAGCAAUGAGACGCUUGUACUCCGGUGCUGCUAGUUGGGAUGAUUUUUGGUUUUGGAUGUCUCCAUCUUCAUCAUCUGGAUCACUAUCGUACUGAAAUCAUAAACCAAUAAACAUUGCAGAUGAAAUUUUGAGUAAUAUUCAACGGAUGACAAGAAAGAUUCUAUGAAAUGUACCUUUGGGUCGCCCUCCAACGUAUCCUUCAUAAAAAAAUCAUCUUCAGAAGAAUCCUUUUCCGCAGGUGAAGAAGUUCCUUCUUUCUGAUUCUUUAUUUCAAGGUACUCUUUUGGUGGUUUGGUUGAAAGAAUUAUUCGAUGCUUCAAUGCUUCCGGAGAGGGAAAUUCUUCUAAGCAUCCCGACUCCGGGUAAUACAGCAUUUCUCCAAAAAUUUGAAUUACCAUCUAGAAGCAGAUAGGUUAUAUCAGUUGCAAUGUUGAUGUUUUCUCAGUCUUAAAAAAAAAGGAAGAACAAAUAGCGAGAAACUCCAACCUCUGCAACUUUAGCCUGAAGGUCCGGAGUGAGGUGAUCCUCCAAAGUAAUUAUUACAGGGUAGGGAGAUUUGACAAAAGCAUGCUCCCUAAUAGACUUCAAGCAUUUAAUGAGUGGCACUGGAGUGGUCAGCGUCCUGAAAAUGAUCAACAAGGUUAAAUUUUCUUACAUUGCCAUUUCCGGUAAGAGAAAAUUUAGAAGUGUCCCUAAAAAUAGACGCAGCAAAAUUGAAAUGUGAAUAUAUAUCAGACAAAUAGUUUCUGGCACAGAUUUCUAAAUGUGGACAACUAGAGCAAAGCAAAUGAUAGAGAAACCCAUGCUGGUCUCUUUGCAUUAAAAAUGAAGCGAUUCUACAAAGAAGAAACCAACUGGAAAUCUAAGCUCCCUCUCUUAUAGCCCUCGCUAUCAUCUCAUAUACACUGCAGAAUGAAAUUUGCUCAGCACAUUGACAUAGAUAAUAAGGAAAAGAAGCAAUGCUUUAAGAAACUAAAGAAAAGAAACAGCUUCAAGGAACUCAUUUUCUUUUUCUGUGUAGUGUCUUUUGUAUACGAUAUCCAAAGGAAAAUGACAAAAAAAAAAAAACUGAAAAUGAGUCUAGGAUCAUACCCUACCUUCCAUGAAGAACAUGCACAUUAUCUUUUGCAGAAUUGGGCCACAGAUCUAGUUCUAUUCCCCUAACACCUCUUUCUAGGGCUUUUAUGAUUGGGAUUUCACUACAGUCGCUGCUCAACUGGUUUCCAGUUAGGUAUGAAUUGUGACCUGUAUAUAUGAAAUAAUGUUGCAAUGGAGCUGUCAUAUCAUGAUGUACCUGGAAUCACAAAAUAAACAAAAUUGUAGGCAAUGUUGACAUAGAAAAUGCUUAAACUGCAGAAUUUCCACAAUAUAUAAACCAUGAUAACAUAAGCCAGCUACAGAAUGCAAAGAUGGAACCAAGCGUCCUUUUCUAGCAGGGCAUUCCGAAAUGCAUUUUACUCUUUUUGGCUACUAAAUUGGAAUGUCAGUUCCGCUAUUUUAAUACUAUCGGCCUCUCCUUAUUUCCUCUUAAAACCAUCAACCUCUUGAAAGAUUUGGGGCACGCUGACAGAAAAAAUGUUGUUGUGCCGCGAGACAUCAUUAGCUUUGCGGGAUACUCACAACUGAUGGCAAACAUAAAAUAUUAAUGGGUAGAAGAAAACAAUUUUCAACGUUCAAUCUUGUCCUGCCAUCAUCAUAAGGGUUCGGAGCAGACAACUACGAAAACAGUGCUGAAGUUUGACAUGUUAUGUCCCGUGGUAAGAGAAUCGCAACUAACAGAGUCCUCUCCAACUUUGAUCCUAUGUCUUACGGGUUAUACUUCUCUUCAAGGUAGUUUUGUUACAUGGCAGCAUUUCUCGUAGAGAUCCAUCUGCCAUCUAUCAGCAGUCAGUCUUGCAAUCAUUAGAGGUGAACUGUAACUAUCUAAUUACACCCUCUGAAACACAUAUAACAUAUUUGAUCACACUCCUUUCAAGAGUUACCUUUUAGAAAAUAUUAUUCCGCAUAAGUCAGAGUUGCAACUGUAACUCCAUUUACUUGAGUUCCAUAACUAUAGACUUUUCAUUGACCAUAGCCAACGCUCAUCCAAUCCUAGUUCCAGUUGUCAUAUAUGAAAUUUUCAUUCUUUUGUAGAUUUAUACAGUGAUUUGAGGAGAAUUGUCAAAGAUGACUCAAGCUAGUAGUCUUGACUAGCCAAGAACAUGCAGGUCUUCAACAAGAACAUGCAGGAUGAUCUUAAUGGCCCCAUUAAAGUAUAGUCACACCCUAUCCAACAACUGAAAAAGUACUUCGCAUUAAAUUAUAUCCUCAAUCAUAAUGACUUAAUUAUGCACCAAUCUAAGAAGGGAUCGUAAUUCCUACACAAACAGCAGAGAUAAUGCUUUAUACUGACAUGCUAAGAUCAUAAGUCAUAACACGUAAACCUCAUCCAAGUUUAGCUUUUUGCUUUUGUUGCAAGUCUCAUGCAUCUAAACACGUUCUUAAGAUUACGUUGUCGGUAUUUCAUCAUUUUUUUGGGGGUAGAAGGUAUUUCAUCUUAUAUUUGGCUUAAGCAUGCAUUCAUAGAAAACUGAUUCCCCUUCCCCCGCCACCCCCCUCCUCCCUCCCCCAAAAAAAAAUUAAUAAUAAAAACCCGAGAUUAGAAAAGGAAAUUAAAAUGGAAGAAGAAGACAAUGGUGUAGAGAAAAAUCUGGGAAGAUCAGGAAAUGACCUGAAUUUUAAUGGGGCCAUUAAGAUCAUCCUGGAACAAGAAAUAAAAGAAAUCUUCAAGGUCUAGUCCCCGGCGAGUAUACUUGGUCAAAUGGUGACGACGCUGGAUGACAAUGUGCAUCAGCCUCUCUGCAUCCGCCAGAGUGCAGCCUUCCUCGCCCUGGUAUUCCACCAGGAACCUGGCAAACUGGUCGGCCGUCAUGUGGGUCCCGCCCCCGGCGUACUUAUGGAAGGCACUCAUCACGUCCGGGGGUGGCUCCGUCUCGCUGAUCUUAAACUUCCGGUUAAAACAUCCAAACAUCCUGUAAUAAUUAUAACUCCCCAUUUUUUAAAAAAUUUUUUUUUUCCUGGACGACAAAAGGUUGUUGGCUUUGGAGGGGACGACUUUAUAACUCUACAAUCUACAUGUGUUUCCAAAUAUAUAGGAAUUAAGCAUUGAAGGAAACAUUGCAGAAACGUCUAUGAUCAGAUGAUGAUGAUGGUGAUGGGGUGCGAGUUGAAUGAUUCUUGGAUGGCUUUAGUUAAUGUUGUUGAAUUGGAUUGUUGUUUCCUCAACAAAUGACAGGGAAGAAGGAGAAAAAAGCAAUGAAAUUCCCAAUAAAUCCAAGGACUCCUAAAGAUUAGUAAGAGAGAGAGAGAGAAAAGGAAAGGGGAAAAAGAAGAAGAAAGAUUAAUAAAAAAAAAAAAGGAAAAACUUCGCGGAGGUUGGUCGAAGAGAGGGCUAAAUAUGAGGAGUAUUUAAAGCUGGAUCCGUUGUGGGACGCGUUCCUUACAUGAGGCUUUAGAGUUACGACGACGACGACGACGACGACUUUCUACAACUACAACUAAACAAAACAUCAAUGAUUUGCAGAUUCACCCGACUUGAUGUUUCAGAAUAUUUCAGUCGUCGCAGGUAUUUGUCCCUUUGUCAUUUUUUUCCCUAAUUUUACCGAUUGGAUGAUCUUUUCUAGUAGUCCUAAUUUUUAAUCUUCCGAUCGUUCCCGCCGUUUUCUUGCCCCCACCACCCUUCAAGAAAAACAAAAAGAAUUUCUUCUUAAGAAAAUUAGUAGCAUAACAACUAAAAACUACCCUAUUGUUGUCCUCUCCAGUGGUUUUUGGCUUUUUCGUACAUGUUCUGUUUGGGUAUAAAAUUUUCUCCGUCCCUUAUCUUCUGUUCUUUUCUUUCUUUAUUAGCCACUAGCAACCAGGGAUUGCGAUAUCUUCCGUAAAAACUUACUGCAAUUCUCCCGUAAAAACAAUCCAUGAGCAUAUCUAACACCAAAAAAUCCCUGAGCUCAUGGCCACCAAACAUUAUGGAAUCACACUGCAAAUGUAAUUCUUCGAGAUAUUGUAAGAACCAGCGCCGAAGUCAAUUUGCAUGAAGGUGAAGCGAGCAGGGCAAGAACCGGCCCUAGUAGAAAGUUAGAACGAAGAUCCAGAUGAAAGAGAUUUUGGAAUAGGAACUUGGUCCGUCACUCAACCAGAAAUUCGUGGGAGAAAUUCAGGUGGUACCAAUUUUCAGUCCACUUGAACCAUUUAUCAUUCGAAAUUUUGCAGUAUACCUAAGAAUGUUGUAAGAAGGAUCGAGCCUAUCUAGACUAUUGGCUGCUUUCAACAAGUCAACUGUUGUCACAAAUCUCUUAAGCCACGAGAGGACAAGAACUAUAGGGUCUGUUUGGCAAAUAAGUUUUUUUAUCAAGUUGAUCUGUUAUAAGUUUUUAAACAACUUUAACUACAGUAAUUUCAAAAAAUUUAUCAAAAUUUUUAAACUAUAUAUUUCAAAAUAUCAAAAAAUUUAUACAUUUCAAAAAUUUUUGCUAUAACUUCUAUAGGAAAUUACAGUAAAGUUUUAGACAUACAUCAAUAAAUUCAUUUGCCAAACAGGGACUAUGAGCAAGGUUGAGUUGGGUCGAGUUACCUACAUCAACAUUCACGACAAUGUAUUUGCCAGAAUGAAAUUACCAAAAAGUUAGUUCAAGUUUGGAAAACCUGCUUGCCUCUAGAACAAACAAUAGGUUGUUGAAGAGAUUGCCGCUCUGUUUGGCAAAUAAGUUUUUGACCAAGUUUAUUUGGUAAUUUUACAUACAGCUUUCUUAAAAAAUUUCUCAAAAUUUUUAAACUCUACACUUCAAAAUAUCCAAAAAUUUACACACUUCAAAAAUUUUUCCUACAAUUUUUACAAUAAGUUACAAUAAAAUUUUAGACAAACAUCCAAAAAACUUAUUUGUCAAAUGAAGCCUGCAUUACUUGAGAAAUAUCAAGGACAGUGAGGUUCACAAAUUGAUUUUGGAAUUGGGCUCUGCAGCUCAUUGUCAUUGAGAUCAAGUGUUGAGGUGACUGAUACCGGAAUUUGUAGACACGGCCCAUUGAACAAGUAGUCUCCAAGAGCUCGAGACUCGGCUCCGAAAUUAACACGGAACGUGGAAUUCUAGGUUCAGGAACUUGCCGUCCGCAUCAAUGAAACUGUCCAAAAUGCCGUUUUUGGUUCUUAUUCAGUUUUCCUAUUAUUAACUAUAAUUGUAUUGAAGGAAGAAAAAAGGGAAAAUCACGCAAGAUUUGUUUCUAAAGGCGAUUUGCGAGUGGAUUCGGGUCACCACACCCGCGGAUCUGGCAGUGCAUGAGUAUUGAGUUGAUACUUGCCUUUUGGAUCCACUCUGUGGACCCACGACGGGUAGCAUCGUUAUCUUCGUUUGAAUUAAUCUAUUUUUUAAAAAUAAAUUUUUUAAAUACAAUAUUACAUUAAUAUAUAAAUAAAAAUAAUUUAAAAAAUAUUUCAUCCAUAUGAUAUAUCAAAUAUUUUUAAAAAUAUUUUUAGUAAAAAUUUUUCAUAUACAAUAUUACAGUAAAAUAUUGCAAAAACACCAUCAAAUACAGCUAAUUCAAACGGAGCAUUUUAAGUAUUUUUUUUUUUUUCAAUUUAAAGCACAUGUAGUCUAAAAAUAGGCAUUCCUAUGAUUAUUUUUUUUUGGCUCUUGACAUUAUUAUUGAAAUUUUAAUAUAGUUGUGUCAAAUUUAUUCAUGUUCUCAAGUUAUUAGAAUCUUGUGAAUUUUUGUCGAAUCUUGUUAUUUUAGGAGUUCAAUCAUGUAUGGAUUCUUGAUUCUUUUUUAUGGAAUUAGUUUGUGACACUAUUCCCGCUAAGUUGCUUCCACCGCCGCGUCAGCAAUCCAGUAACGGUGGAGGGCAUUUGGACCUGCAAGUGUAAGCGCAUUGGUCAAAAAUCUCAAAAAGAUGCGUCACAUUGAUGAUUGAGAAGGGGGAAUUAACGAAUAGAUUCAGGAUGAGAGAGAUCCAAGUGCUUAGAAAGUCAAUUUCGAGCCUUCAGGAUACCUGAUUGAUUGGAGUUUUAUACGAUUAGCUACAAUUGAUUUUACUCACAUUUGAGCCCUUGUUUCGGAGCAUGUUAACACGGUAGCUUAUACGCACGCACAAUCAAAGUGGCGUCCAAUUCCAAACAUCAAUUAAUUUAUAGUUGUCUGCUAUUGAUUUCAAAAAACAAAUACAGGGGGAUCCUUUCUUUAGGUAUUGACCAAAGAUUCUUUAUUUAGCCAGUCCACCGAGAAUGUCCUUCCACUGGGGAGAAGGCUUGAAUUAUUCAUGGUCAACGUAUAAUAAAGCAAUCCAACAACUCUACUUGAGAAACGACAUUAUCCUCAACCAGCAUGGUUUGUCAAGAAUGCUACUCCAUGCUUGAUACUUCAAGGUACAAGGUUGAUAACAUUUGGUCGGAAUGUUAUGUCAUGUUAUGGAUGAUAGGUACCUCCGCAUGUCUUCUUCCUUCUUCGGCAUAAGACGUCACAAGUUUGCCCAAGACUCGAGAGGAUGGAGCCUCUCGUAGAUUCUAAUACGCAGAUUCAGCAAUUGAGAGGCUACCCUUUACACCCCUUUUCUCUUGCAAUAAAAUGUUUUUGAGACCUUUUUUUGGAAACGUCUAGGCCCAACAAACAAGGGUAGGGCAACAAAGUUGGUGCACCCCCCCUCCCCUCUCUCCUCCUCUGAUUGACGAACUCAGCGACAGUCAAGGGUGAUAAUAUUUAGUGGCUACCCAUGACAAACUCAAUCAUCAAAAUGUAAUCGUUUUCCCUUGCACUUGGCAUAUAUCUCUACACAAUGAUUCCCAUACGAGUUAUUAGCUCAAGGAAGCUAGGAACUCGGUUCAAUCGAGUUUUUCCCUCCUCUUCCAAACCUUAAACUUUCUGCUCAGCUUGAAAUCAAAUUCCUGAGCGCAAUUGUGCUACAAAACAUUCUGCAAAGUUCAUCAUUUAGCAGGCAGCCACAUCCACUCCAACUAAGAUUACUUUUGUAGCAGCACAACAUCACCAUCAGUCACUCUUCUAUAAAUUUUGACAAUCUUUACUCUGCAAUGUCUCCUAAAUCCAUCUUUCCUUACCCACAACUUCGGAUAAUUUGCACUCAACAUACUCUAAUCUGUGUUAAUUCACUUCAUUGCAACAGCAGAUAAAAAGCACUGAAGAGCUUCUCUUCAGUUUGGCUCCAUGACAACUAUCUUGUGACCAAUGUAUCACGUAGACCAACAUUUGACUAGCAUAUUCCAAAGUUCCUGCCAAUGCUAUGGUUAAAACAUGAAACAACCAUGACAGAAAUGCAGAAUGGUGAUUAGUGGAGUAAUAAUUGCACUACUUAGCUUUGAAAUCCGCCACUAUCUCCUAACAACUAGAGUGAGAAGAUGAACUGAGCUUCUUGAAAUCCAGAGAGAGCCAUAUAGAUUAUAUGUAUAACCAGUACAAUCUUACAGUAGUAUAAGAAGCGCCGCUUUACACAAAUUAGAUCAAUCUCUAUACAAAAUUCCGGCAUAUUCCUUUCCUUGAGAAAGGAGAGUCAGGGGCCGCACUAUUACCUGAAAUUUCUGAAAAUUAGAUUGCAACCCUAACUUACCAGAAUCCUCCUACCCAGUUGUUACAGUCACAAUACCU
RNAcentral lists this long non-coding RNA (57874 nucleotides) under Coffea arabica (coffee). Its description in RNAcentral is "long non-coding RNA (CARA_LNC001500)". The record is from RNAcentral. Lineage: Eukaryota; Viridiplantae; Streptophyta; Magnoliopsida; Gentianales; Rubiaceae.